UUUUUUUUUGUUCUUAAUAAUGUUCAAUUAGUGACUUGUGUUGGUCAAAGAGGUGGUUUUGUGGAAGAUUUCAUGACCUUUGGUAGAGAUUGAUGAAUUUCUGUUUUUAUUCAUGAUUUUUCUGAUUUUAUAUGAUUAAUAUUGGUUGGCCAUAGAUGAUGGCUUAGAAUAGUCUAGAAUGAAGCUUUGGUGUGUUAAUUGUAGCUUUUUGCGGAAAAUUUUCGUUUUGUACGGAAAAUUUCAGAUUUAGCGUUUUGAAUUGGGGCUUUUCUAGGGUUAUUGUGGGACUCUUGAAUUGGAUUUGUUUAAAGGGUAUUGUAACCCUAAUAAGGUGUAUUGAAUGACCUAUGACUUGCAAUUGUAAUUGUGGUUGUGUUGGGGUAAUAUAAGUGAGUGAUUGUAGGAUGGAAAUUUGAAAUUAUAAGGGGAAAUGCUAUCCCAAAUUUUAGGUUCAUACGAUUUCUUGGAAUUGGGUUGCUAGAGUGUUAAUUAGUGACCUUAGGGUUGUCUAAACCUUUAGCACCAAGCGUACCUUAUAUUACUUUCAAGUUAUUACGGCUUUACAUUAGUGAUGUGUGGUUUGGAUUUAUGACUCAUAAUCGAGUGUCAUUGUGUUUUAUUGAAUGUUUUACGGCGUGCCGGUGACGCAAGGCGUUCGUUGGACGGAAAUUUGUGAAAACUCUCUUUGUUUGAUUGGUGAGUGUAUUACUCACAUGAUUGUUACUUCAUGGCUUUGUUAUACUUGAAAUCUAUGACUUGAAUGCUUGCGUAUAUUGUUGAGAUUGAUUGAGACGAGGGAGUACUUUAUCAUGUGACUGUUUACUAUAUCAAUUGAAUGUCACUUGAAUAUACUUGAAUUGGUGUCGUUUGGACCUAUAUCCAAUGACCUUUACUGUUAACACUGAGUUCAACCCCAUGGGUGGUCAAUUGAAUCGAGCCAGCAAGGGUUUGGUCGAGAAAAUUGACAAGCCAUGGGGACUAUUUAUGUUGAAUCCUUGAGUAUGAGACUCUUGAUUCUGGUAUACUCGAGUAUUACCAUUUUUGAACUGAUUGGAGUUCGGGCCCGGUAGGGGUAUGUGAGGUGGACGAAAAUUGGAGAAAAGUGAAGUCUGCUGUAUUGGCUAUUCUUUAUACUUUGACGGAGAGUCAAUGAGAUAAGAUCAAGUAUGGCAAGCAAGGAAAAGGGCUCUUGAGAGCCAUCUGUAUCUUUUUUAAAAAUUUUCAUCAAAAUGUGGUGUUAGUUAACUCAUUUAUUGAAUGAAUUUGGAUUGAGUGGCUUUGUGCUUACAUGAACUUCGUUACUUGGGUGAUGGUACCUUAUUGGGCGAAAGCUCACUCUAUUGCCUUUGUUUUCCUUACAGGGAUAUGAAUAACUUUUGGAAGACUGUGAUUUUGGGAGCCGAGUGAGCUAGUUUAUUAUUCUUUUGUAUAGCUCCUCGAUAAUUGAAAAAUUUUAAGUGCAUUUUGAUCCAACAUCUUUUUGGAGUUGUAAAUUUGCAACUUUACGUGUAUAAACGUGUUUGGCCAUGUUCAUGUGUUAUGUUGGUUUGUAAAUGCUAAAUUCAAGGUUUAUAUGAUUUGUUGGUGAAUGUUUGGAUUUCAGACAGGUUCGAUUUUUGAACGGCAAAAGAAAAAUUUUGGCAGGAAUUACUGCUGGAGAUCCGGCUUCAAAUCCAGCCAGUUGUUGGCCGGAUUGCCUGCUGGAUUGAUAGGGAAAAUUUGGAAUCCGGGCAGUUGGUCUCUGCUUCCAAUCCAGUCAAGAAUCUGGCCGGAUUGUGACUUGGCCGGCACUAUUUAUGUGCGGCUCCAAUUUUCAUUUUUCCGUUUCGCGAUUUUUGAAUCAUUUAAGCGCACUUUUAUUUUUUGGAACGUUUUAGAUUGUAUUUAACUGCCUCGUUAGUUCUGGUGAGAGUUGGGCAGGCAGUCCGUUAACCCUUUUGGUACGCCUUAGGGGCAGUGGGGCUGUCACUGGUGGUAUCAGAGCCUAGAUUUGAAUUAGCCUGGGCAUGUUAGAAUUUUUUGACUUGAGAAUUAUAUUUAAUUAUUUCCCUUAAGAGUACUUAAGUUUAUCUACACUUUUGUGUAGGAUGGACGGAUAUAGUGGUCCUAGUGAUUGCCCAGUUAGUGAGCAGCCCCGUGGAGUAUUCCCGAUGAUUAAGUAUUAGAUUCGGCCAAGAGGGGCCACUGUACGUUGGAGUCCGACUAACCACCAUCGGCUUUGCGAAUGCCGCCAUACUUAUGCCUAUCCUAAUACAGUCGUUUUGACCGUGGUAGAGGAAAGGAAGAAGUUAGCGAAGGACAAUGCUAGGCUUGAAGCCGAAGUGAACCAAUUAAAGGAAGCUAAUAAGAGGCAAGUCGAGUGAAUUAAGGAGUUUGAGUAUGAUGUGGUUGAAGGCUAAGAUAGGAUAGAUGAUCUCUGUGCACAACUUGGAGAAGCGCAGGAGCGCAUGGUUAAGAGAGCCAGGAAAGGGAGGGUUAGAGUUGAAUCGAUUUUGAACAUUUGUGAUGACUUGCUUGGGGAGGAGAACGAUGAGGCUUCUUGCAUAGGAGGCGAGGUUAGAGGUGAACCCGCCCAGUCAGAUGCAUCAACUAGUCCUACGGCGGAUUAAGCCUUUACUCCUAGUGUGACGCCCCGGAAAAAAAUGAGUUUGAGAACCCGAAAAUUUUCUAAUUUUCUAGGGUUUAUUUAUUUAAUCGCCCGCCUUUUCUAUAUUUUCUUGAUUAGAAAAAUUCCCCAGAUAAAGUUUAUGAGCAAAGAUAGUUUUAAAAUGAUUUUUCUAGUAUCGGUUAGUUUUUGAGAAAUUAAGAGCGUAUUUUGAACGUGGGACCCGCAUGUGCGGUAAAUGUAAUAUAUUUUUGAUAACUUGUUGGAGUUUUGUGCUAAGUGAUAUUUUUCUACAAGGUGUUAAGAGAUAUUUAUGGAUUGGUGUGAGAGGGAACAAAGAGAUAGAGAUUCAUUAUUUAAGUGACAAGUGUCGCUUGGCCAUUGGGUGGAAUUUUUGACUAUUAUGCCAUGUCUUACCAUUUGACUUAAUAAACUAAAACUUUACCAAAAAUUUGCUCCAUUUCCAAGCUUCAUGGCCGAACCUCUCUCAAGAAAGGAAGAAAGGAAAGCUUUCAUCUUACUUCUUCAUUUCUUGCUUCAAUCAAACAAUUUAACCGAUUAAACUUGGAUUUGCUCCAUAAAAACCUUUCUCUUGGUAGUAUUAAGGUGUGUAGUAAAGUGGUUUGAGAAGCAAAGGUGCUAAGUUGGGUCUUUUCUUGGGUUUGUAAGGUAAGUGACUAAGGAACCUUUCCUUUGAUCUUGAUAAUGUUCAAUUAGUGAUUGGUGGUGGUUGAAUAAGUGAUUUUAUGGUUGAUUUCCUGAUUUUGGUUGAAAAUGAUGAAGUUUUAUUAUUUUUGGGGAUUUUUCUGUUUUCAUAUGGAUAUGAUUGUGUGGCUAUAUAUGAUGAUUGGAAAUGAUGUUUAAGGACUCUAUGAGGUGGAAAAAGUGAUUAAUUGCAAUCAAUUUCUGUUUUGGAAGAAAUUUCAGAAAAUCAGGGUUUUGUGAUGAACAUUCUGUCCGAAUUUUUAGGUCCUAGAUAGAGGCCGAAUUGGCCUUUGCUUAAAACAUGAAAGUUGUAGGGAAUGACAUUUUAAAGGUGCCUACAAAAUUUUAGGUCAAUUGGAGCAGUGUGGAAUGAGAAAAGUCGAAAUUACUAUUGCUGUUCUGGUUUUACCCGAAAUUGAGAAGUGCGUCUGUAAUUGGUUGUUUUGGCUGGAAUUGCUUCCGAAUUAGUUGUUGAGGCCUUCUGAUGAAAUUUAUCCCUGUUUCUUAGCUUUCAUCUGGUUUUGGAAUUGCUGGAUUUGGAUUUGAAGAGCCUGAGUUAUGAUGUUUCCGCUAGAAUGCGUUUUGUGAAUCUGUUUUUGUGAUUCUGGUGUGGUAUCUUGCAUUUUUGACCUGGUUACACUCGAAACUGGGUUGAGUAACCUUCUGUAAUAUUGUAAACCUAUCUCUUAGCUUUGAAACGGUGUAUCUUGCACCUUCAUCCGACAAUCGUAGUGCCUUUGGUACCAUUACCGCAAAAUGACGUCAAAACCUGUUUUUUUGGUUUUGAGCUUAACUUUCAUUUCCGGACUUCUUCCUAGCUUGACUUGUCUUUGUACUACUUGGAGCUUGCUCAAUGACUAUUGGAUGAACCUGUUGUUGUGUGUGUACCUUUGGGACUGGCUGAGGAAAUAAUGAAGCCAUGAUGGCUGGAAAAGUAAGCAAAUUUAGGGGAAGUGCUGUCCGAACUUUUAAAGGGUUUGAUUGCUUUGAGUUUGUGAUCUAAGACUUGGAUUUGAGCAAGGCAAUGUUAUAUGAUGGAUGAUUUCUGAGCCAUGGAGGUGAGUGACCCUAAACUGUUUCCAAAGUUACUUUUGAAAUGUUCCUUGCAUUGUUUCUUUGGUUGCAUAUCAUGUGUGCGCGCAUACGAGUUCUUGACAUGGUUUGGCUUUAAUGAGUUCUUGAGGAGUCUUGUGCUGGACACCAACGUCUCCACCACUUUCGUGAGUUUGUGAUAUGAUCUGGAGCACCGAUGCUGCUCCCCUUUAAUGUUUAUGGUUUCGUGAUCUGUUUGAGCGUUGGGUGUUUAGUUUCAAUGAUUUCACUGGCUCACGAGAGCAAAAAUACGUGCAUUUGAUACUUGAAUCAUGACAUCAUGACAUCAUCGAAAUGAAUUAUUGUGAAAGAUAUUUGAUUACUGGUUUUAUUUGGUUACUCGCUGAGCUUCUAGCUCACCCCAAAAAUAUUUUAUUCCCCUCCACAGGGCUCAAGGCGAAAGCAGGACUUGUUGUGCUUAUUCAUGUGAAUGGAUGGAUUUCCUUUUGUGUAAUAGUUAUUAUUAGGGAUUGUAAUGAAUGUUUGGAAUCGAUCGGAUGUAUACAUACGUUCCACGCUUGGAAUUAGUUUCCGCUUCGUUUUGUUUAUAUGUAAAUAUUGGAGAUUUACAUUGUAAUAUUUGAGGUUUAUUCUUGUAAUAUAUUUGAGGAUUGUAGUGAACGACUGAGUCCCGGCGAGAGUUGGGCAGGCGGCCCGCCGAACCCUCUGGUUCGCCUCAGGGGGAGGUGGGGCCGUCACAGUUGGUAUCAGAGCUUAGGUUUCAGAUCUCUGUAGUGUAUCCUAGACUUGAAGUUUAGGAUGCCGGACUGUGGGUUUGGUUUGCAAUAGUAGUGAUUCUUGCGGGAUGUCUUGACUUGAUUGGUACAAGAGGGAAUGUCGAGGACGACAUUCUUUUAAGGAGGGGAGAUUGUGACGCCCCGGAAAAAAAUGAGUUUGAGAACCCGAAAAUUUUCUAAUUUUCUAGGGUUUAUUUAUUUAAUCGCCCGCCUUUUCUACAUUUUUUUGAUUAGAAAAAUUCCCCAGAUAAAGUUUAUGAGCAAAGAUAGUUUUAAAAUGAUUUUUCUAGUAUCGGUUAGUUUUUGAGAAAUUAAGAGCGUAUUUUGAACGUGGGACCCGCAUGUGCGGUAAAUGUAAUAUAUUUUUGAUAACUUGUUGGAGUUUUUUGCUAAGUGAUAUUUUUCUACAAGGUGUUAAGAGAUAUUUAUGGAUUGGUGUGAGAGGGAACAAAGAGAUAGAGAUUCAUUAUUUAAGUGACAAGUGUCGCUUGGCCAUUGGGUGGAAUUUUUGACUUUUAUGCCAUGUCUUACCAUUUGACUUAAUAAACUAAAACUUUACCAAAAAUUUGCUCCAUUUCCAAGCUUCAUGGCCGAACCUCUCUCAAGAAAGGAAGAAAGGAAAGCUUUCAUCUUACUUCUUCAUUUCUUGCUUCAAUCAAACAAUUUAACCGAUUAAACUUGGAUUUGCUCCAUAAAAACCUUUCUCUUGGUAGUAUUAAGGUGUGUAGUGAAGUGGUUUGAGAAGCAAAGGUGCUAAGUUGGGUCUUUUCUUGGGUUUGUAAGGUAAGUGACUAAGGAACCUUUCCUUUGAUCUUGAUAAUGUUCAAUUAGUGAUUGGUGGUGGUUGAAUAAGUGAUUUUAUGGUUGAUUUCCUGAUUUUGGUUGAAAAUGAUGAAGUUUUAUUAUUUUUGGGGAUUUUUCUGUUUUCAUAUGGAUAUGAUUGUGUGGCUAUAUAUGAUGAUUGGAAAUGAUGUUUAAGGACUCUAUGAGGUGGAAAAAGUGAUUAAUUGCAAUCAAUUUCUGUUUUGGAAGAAAUUUCAGAAAAUCAGGGUUUUGUGAUGAACAUUCUGUCCGAAUUUUUAGGUCCUAGAUAGAGGCCGAAUUGGCCUUUGCUUAAAACAUGAAAGUUGUAGGGAAUGACAUUUUAAAGGUGCCUACAAAAUUUCAGGUCAAUCGGAGCAGUGUGGAAUGAGAAAAGUCGAAAUUACUAUUGCUGUUCUGGUUUUACCCGAAAUUGAGAAGUGCGUCUGUAAUUGGUUGUUUUGGCUGGAAUUGCUUCCGAAUUAGUUGUUGAGGCCUUCUGAUGAAAUUUAGCCCUGUUUCUUAGCUUUCAUCUGGUUUUGGAAUUGCUGGAUUUGGAUUUGGAGAGCCUGAGUUAUGAUGUUUCCGCUAGAAUGCGUUUUGUGAAUCUGUUUUUGUGAUUCUGGUGUGGUAUCUUGCAUUUUUGACCUGGUUACACUCGAAACUGGGUUGAGUGACCUUCUGUAAUAUUGUAAACCUAUCUCUUAGCUUCGAAACGGUGUAUCUUGCACCUUCAUCCGACAAUCGUAGUGCCUUUGGUACCAUUACCGCAAAAUGACGUCAAAACCUGUUUUUUUGGUUUUGAGCUUAACUUUCAUUUCCGGACUUCUUCCUAGCUUGACUUGUCUUUGUACUACUUGGAGCUUGCUCAAUGACUAUUGGAUGAACCUGUUGUUGUGUGUGUACCUUUGGGACUGGCUGAGGAAAUAAUGAAGCCAUGAUGGCUGGAAAAGUAAGCAAAUUUAGGGGAAGUGCUGUCCGAACUUUUAAAGGGUUUGAUUGCUUUGAGUUUGUGAUCUAAGACUUGGAUUUGAGCAAGGCAAUGUUAUAUGAGGGAUGAUUUCUGAGCCAUGGAGGUGAGUGACCCUAAACUGUUUCCAAAGUUACUUUUGAAAUGUUCCUUGCAUUGUUUCUUUGGUUUGCAUAUCAUGUGUGCGCGCAUACGAGUUCUUGACAUGGCUUGGCUUUAAUGAGUUCUUGAGGAGUCUUGUGCUGGACACCAACGUCUCCACCACUUUCGUGAGUUUGUGAUAUGAUCUGGAGCACCGAUGCUGCUCCCCUUUAAUGUUUAUGGUUUCGUGAUCUGUUUGAGCGUUGGGUGUUUAGUUUCAAUGAUUUCACUGGCUCACGAGAGCAAAAAUACGUGCAUUUGAUACUUGAAUCAUGACAUCAUGAUAUCAUCGAAAUGAAUUAUUGUGAAAGAUAUUUGAUUACUGGUUUUAUUUGGUUACUCGCUGAGCUUCUAGCUCACCCCAAAAAUAUUUUAUUCCCCUCCACAGGGCUCAAGGCGAAGGCAGGACUUGUUGUGCUUAUUCAUGUGAAUGGAUGGAUUAUCUCGUGUAUGGUUUGAAUUUGGAUUUCCUUUUGUGUAAUAGUUAUUAUUAGGGAUUGUAAUGAAUGUUUGGAAUCGAUCGGAUGUAUACAUACGUUCCACGCUUGGAAUUAGUUUCCGCUUCGUUUUGUUUAUAUGUAAAUAUUGGAGAUUUACAUUGUAAUAUUUGAGGUUUAUUCUUGUAAUAUAUUUGAGGAUUGUAGUGAACGACUGAGUCCCGGCGAGAGUUGGGCAGGCGGCCCACCGAACCCUCUGGUUCGCCUCAGGGGGAGGUGGGGCCGUCACAGUUGGUAUCAGAGCUUAGGUUUCAGAUCUCUGUAGUGUAUCUUAGGCUUGAAGUUUAGGAUGCCGGACUGUGGGUUUGGUUUGCAAUAGUAGUGAUUCUUGCGGGAUGUCUUGACUUGAUUGGUACAAGAGGGAAUGUCGAGGACGACAUUCUUUUAAGGAGGGGAGAUUGUGACGCCCCGGAAAAAAAUGAGUUUGAGAACCCGAAAAUUUUCUAAUUUUCUAGGGUUUAUUUAUUUAAUCGCCCGCCUUUUCUACAUUUUUUUGAUUAGAAAAAUUCCCCAGAUAAAGUUUAUGAGCAAAGAUAGUUUUAAAAUGAUUUUUCUAGUAUCGGUUAGUUUUUGAGAAAUUAAGAGCGUAUUUUGAACGUGGGACCCGCAUGUGCGGUAAAUGUAAUAUAUUUUUGAUAACUUGUUGGAGUUUUGUGCUAAGUGAUAUUUUUCUACAAGGUGUUAAGAGAUAUUUAUGGAUUGGUGUGAGAGGGAACAAAGAGAUAGAGAUUCAUUAUUUAAGUGACAAGUGUCGCUUGGCCAUUGGGUGGAAUUUUUGACUUUUAUGCCAUGUCUUACCAUUUGACUUAAUAAACUAAAACUUUACCAAAAAUUUGCUCCAUUUCCAAGCUUCAUGGCCGAACCUCUCUCAAGAAAGGAAGAAAGGAAAGCUUUCAUCUUACUUCUUCAUUUCUUGCUUCAAUCAAACAAUUUAACCGAUUAAACUUGGAUUUGCUCCAUAAAAACCUUUCUCUUGGUAGUAUUAAGGUGUGUAGUGAAGUGGUUUGAGAAGCAAAGGUGCUAAGUUGGGUCUUUUCUUGGGUUUGUAAGGUAAGUGACUAAGGAACCUUUCCUUUGAUCUUGAUAAUGUUCAAUUAGUGAUUGGUGGUGGUUGAAUAAGUGAUUUUAUGGUUGAUUUCCUGAUUUUGGUUGAAAAUGAUGAAGUUUUAUUAUUUUUGGGGAUUUUUCUGUUUUCAUAUGGAUAUGAUUGUGUGGCUAUAUAUGAUGAUUGGAAAUGAUGUUUAAGGACUCUAUGAGGUGGAAAAAGUGAUUAAUUGCAAUCAAUUUCUGUUUUGGAAGAAAUUUCAGAAAAUCAGGGUUUUGUGAUGAACAUUCUGUCCGAAUUUUUAGGUCCUAGAUAGAGGCCGAAUUGGCCUUUGCUUAAAACAUGAAAGUUGUAGGGAAUGACAUUUUAAAGGUGCCUACAAAAUUUCAGGUCAAUCGGAGCAGUGUGGAAUGAGAAAAGUCGAAAUUACUAUUGCUGUUCUGGUUUUACCCGAAAUUGAGAAGUGCGUCUGUAAUUGGUUGUUUUGGCUGGAAUUGCUUCCGAAUUAGUUGUUGAGGCCUUCUGAUGAAAUUUAUCCCUGUUUCUUAGCUUUCAUCUGGUUUUGGAAUUGCUGGAUUUGGAUUUGGAGAGCCUGAGUUAUGAUGUUUCCGCUAGAAUGCGUUUUGUGAUUCUGGUGUGGUAUCUUGCAUUUUUGACCUGGUUACACUCGAAACUGGGUUGAGUGACCUUCUGUAAUAUUGUAAAACUAUCUCUUAGCUUCGAAACGGUGUAUCUUGCACCUUCAUCUGACAAUCGUAGUGCCUUUGGUACCACUACCGUAAAAUGACGUCAAAACCUGUUUUUUUGGUUUUGAGCUUAACUUUCAUUUCCGGACUUCUUCCUAGCUUGACUUGUCUUUGUACUACUUGGAGCUUGCUGAAUGACUAUUGGAUGAACCUGUUGUUGUGUGUGUACCUUUGGGACUGGCUGAGGAAAUAAUGAAGCCAUGAUGGCUGGAAAAGUAAGCAAAUUUAGGGGAAGUGCUGUCCGAACUUUUAAAGGGUUUGAUUGCUUUGAGUUUGUGAUCUAAGACUUGGAUUUGAGCAAGGCAAUGUUAUAUGAUGGAUGAUUUCUGAGCCAUGGAGGUGAGUGACCCUAAACUGUUUCCAAAGUUACUUUUGAAAUGUUCCUUGCAUUGUUUCUUUGGUUUGCAUAUCAUGUGUGCGCGCAUACGAGUUCUUGACAUGGUUUGGCUUUAAUGAGUUCUUGAGGAGUCUUGUGCUGGACACCAACGUCUCCACCACUUUCGUGAGUUUGUGAUAUGAUCUGGAGCACCGAUGCUGCUCCCCUUUAAUGUUUAUGGUUUCGUGAUCUGUUUGAGCGUUGGGUGUUUAGUUUCAAUGAUUUCACUGGCUCACGAGAGCAAAAAUACGUGCAUUUGAUACUUGAAUCAUGACAUCAUGACAUCAUCGAAAUGAAUUAUUGUGAAAGAUAUUUGAUUACUGGUUUUAUUUGGUUACUCGCUGAGCUUCUAGCUCACCCCAAAAAUAUUUUAUUCCCCUCCACAGGGCUCAAGGCGAAGGCAGGACUUGUUGUGCUUAUUCAUGUGAAUGGAUGGAUUAUCUCGUGUAUGGUUUGAAUUUGGAUUUCCUUUUGUGUAAUAGUUAUUAUUAGGGAUUGUAAUGAAUGUUUGGAAUCGAUCGGAUGUAUACAUACGUUCCACGCUUGGAAUUAGUUUCCGCUUCGUUUUGUUUAUAUGUAAAUAUUGGAGAUUUACAUUGUAAUAUUUGAGGUUUAUUCUUGUAAUAUAUUUGAGGAUUGUAGUGAACGACUGAAUCCCGGCGAGAGCUGGGCAGGCGGCCCACCGAACCUUCUGGUUCGCCUCAGGGGGAGGUGGGGCCGUCACACCUAGGCUACUAUUUUGGAUAAUUUUGAUUACCAUACAUAGAAAGGAUAGGGGAUAGUAGAUCUGAAAAAGAACUUUAGCUAGACGUUUUGUAUGUUUGGACUAACUUUGCAUAUAUAUCUUUUGAUGACUUUGUUGUCUCAUGGAAUCUCCUUGUGUGUACUCGACUGACUGUUAAUGUGUGAUUUGUUUGAUACUGUUGUGUAAUAUGUAUAUAUGUUUUGAUUGUGAAUAUCUUUUGGCUUCUUACUUACGUUUACCGUUAUCUUUAAUGUUAUAUUUACAUUUUACCCUAGAUCGACUAAAUUCUAUGGAAGGAACAUGUAGUGGUCGGGGUCAUGGGUGUGGUGGUAGGCAACCUGCAACUGCAGGGGGUAGUCGAGAAACUAUGCCUAAACCCAAUCCUGAGCCUAGAAUCGACCCUAACGCUCAAGUAGCUACAGCCAUCCAACGAAUGACUGACCUGCUAGCUCAUGUAGUGGAGCACCAGGGUCAAAACCCUCAGCCUCAACCUGUAAACGUUAAUCCUGGCAAUCACGUGGAGAGAGAGGAUAAAGCUCUCGAAAGGUUUCAGAAGUUUUCCCUACCCAAAUUUAUUGGCGGGCUAGAUCUUGAUGAGGCCGAGAAAUGGUUAGAAAAGAUGGUGGGCAUCUUUGCUGCUUUACAUUAUAUGGAAGAGAGACAUGUGACUUUCGCUGUCUUUCAACUGGAAAGGGCGGUCCGUUCUUGGUGGAACGUCAUACGGCAAAAGUGGGAACGGGAAUAAACGCCAAGGACGUGGGUAAAUUUCAGGAGGGAAUUCAACGCCAAGUUUUUCCCUCCUUUGGUUCAGGAAAGGAAAGAAAAUGAGUUUAUUCGAUUUCGCCAGGGGGCUCAGACCAUAGCUGAGUUCGAAAUCCAAUUCACUCGCCUAUCCAAAUUUGCCUCCGAACUAAUCAUGACCGAACAAUGAAGGAUAAGGCGCUUUGUUCAGAGUCUGAACGUGAAAAUUCAGAAGGAACUCGCUGUGGCCCAUUAAUGUUUUUAGUGAGAUCGUGGAGAAGGCUCAACGGGUGGAAAGCGCCAGGCUUCAAGUGAGGAACUUUCAAGCUAAAAAGCGAAAAUUUUCUCGUAGUAGCUCAGGGUAGGGGGAUAAGAGUACUCCUUCCAAAUUUGGAUGAGAAGCCGGAGACGGAAGGCAGCCAGGAGUAUCGAGAGGGGCUCAGUUAAGAGGUGGCUAAACUAGGCGAGGCCAAAAAGGAAAUUUCCAAGGGAGCUCAGCUUCGGCAUCUCGCGGUCCCUGUGGGCAUUGUGGGAAACCAAACCAUAUGGAAGACAAUUACUAGAGGAAGGAAGGAAAAUGUUUAUGCUGUGGAAGUGUCGACCACCAACUUGCCACUUGCCCCGUUCUAAAACAUAAUGAAAAGGGGAGCCAACAACCGCUGAUGACCAAUUCUGAACCAGUUAAGGUGGACGGGACUAAACCUAAGGUAUCGGCUCGAGUGUAUUUACUGAGCCACAACAGGUCCCUGACUCUUUCGAGAUUGUAGAAGGUACGAUCCCUAUAUUUCACUAAUUUGCAAAGAUCUUAAUAGAUCCCGGUGCUACCCAUUCCUUUGUUAUCCCCAACUUCAUGUGUGGUAUUGAUAUAAAAUCUGCUAAUUUACCUUAUGACUUAGAAGUCAGUACCCCCACGGGAGACCAUCGUUUGAUCACUAGCUUGAUUUAUAAGAAUUGCGAAAUUUGGGUAGGAGAGAGAAAAUUGUUAGGGGAUUUGAUAAGCCUGUCUAUUAAGGGGUAUGAUGUAAUCUUGGGCAUGAACUGGUUAGUCAGGUAUAAUACUCAACUUGAUUGUAAAAAGAAGGUGGUAGAAUUUCGUAUUCUUGGGGAGGCGACCUUAAAGUUAGAUAUAAGGGGUAGGUUAGUCUCAUCUGCCUUGAUCUCGGGCAUUCGGGUUAGAAAACUGCUAAGUAGAGGGGCGCAAGGGUUCUUAGCCUUUCUAAUCAAUACCCCCACCGAUAAAUUGAAGAUAGAGGAUGUGCACAUAGUGAAGGAAUAUCCAGAUGUAUUUCCUGAUGAGUUAGUAGCCCUACCUCCGGAGAGAGAGAUAGAGUUUAAAAUUGAUUUGUUACCGAGGACGUCGCCUAUCUCAAAAUCCCUUUACCGAAUGGCACCUGCCGAGUUUAAGGAGUUGAAAUUGCAGUUACAAGACCUUUUGGAGCGGGGGUUCAUACGAGAGAAUGGGUCUCCUCGGGGAGCCCCUGUAUUAUUUGUGAAGAAAAAGGAUGGGAGUCUGCGGAUGUGUAUAGACUAUCGGGGGCUGAAUAAUGUAACAGUUAAAAAUAAAUAUCCACUACCCCAUAUUGAUGAGUUGUUCGACCAGUUGCAAGAAGCAGUGAUCUUCUCGAAAUUAGAUUUUCGCCAGGAGUAUUACCAAUUGCUGAUUAGGAAAGAGGAUAUCCCAAAAACUGCUUUUAAUUCGAGAUAUGGGCACUACCAAUUUGCAGUCAUGCCUUUUGGACUGACCAAUGCCCCUGCUGCCUUCAUGGAUCUGAUGUGUAGGGUUUUUAAACCCUAUUUGGAUCAAUUUGUAGUCGUAUUUAUUGAUGACAUCCUGGUUUACUCCAAGACGCGUGAGGAGCAUGAGCAGCACUUAAGAAUCGUUUUACAAACCCUAAGAGAGCAUCAGUUGUACGCAAAGUUUAGUAAGUGUGAGUUUUGGCUGGAGAAAAUUUCUUUCUUAGGGCACGUAAUUUCUCAAGAGGGCAUUUCGGUUGAUCCGGCGAAAAUAGAGGUCGUGACUGAUUGGAAGAGGUCAGAAAAUUCCACGGAGAUUCGUAGUUUUCUAGGGUUGGUUGGGUACUAUAGGCAUUUCAUUAAAGACUUUUCCAAACUGGCCGGUCCUUUAACUGACUUGAUGAAGAAACAUGGUCGUUUCAUGUGGGAUGCUAGGUGUGAAGCGAGCUUUUGAGAGUUAAAGAAAAGAUUAACCAUGGCACCGAUUCUAGCUUUGCCCAACGGAGUAGACAGUUUUACCGUUGACGUGUCGAGAGAAGGUCUGGGGUAUGUGUUGAUGCAAAACCAGAAUGUGAUAUUUUUUGCUUCUAGGAAGUUGAAACCCCACGAGCAGAACUACUCAACCCACGAUCUGGAGUUAGUUGCAGUUGUUUUCGCUCUGGAAAAGUGGAGACACUAUCUAUACAGGAUAACCUUCGAGGUUUACUCAGACCACAAGAGCCUUAGAUACCUUUUCUCAUAGAAGGAAUUGAACACGAGGCAGUGACGGUGGAUGAAAUUUCUGGAGGACUACGAUUGCACUAUCAAUUAUCAUCCGGGGAAAGCUAACGUGGUGGCGGAUGUCUUAAGUCGGAAGGCUCGAGUAGCAGGGUUAAUGAUUAAGGAGUGGGAUUUGUUAGAAUCGAUUUGUCAGUGGAAAUCCAGACUUGGAAGUCAUAAGGUGAUCUUUGGUAAUGUUAAUGUAACAUCCACAUUACUGGAGCGAAUUAAAGAAACUCAGAAGGAAGAUGCUCGGUACGGAAGUGUGGAGAAAAGGGGAGUUGUCGGAUUUCAACUUUAGUCCUAAGGGAGUUUUGAAAUACCGAAAUCGAGUGGUGGUGCCCAAAGAUGAAAUGUUAAAGAAUGAGAUUUUAGAAGAAACUCAUCGAUCCAAGUAUACGAUCCAUCCGGGUAGUAGCAAGAUGUACCAGGACCUAAAAGGAGCCUAUUGGUGGGACAACAUAAAGAAGGAAAUUACUCAAUACGUACAAAAAUAUCUCAUCUGUCUACAAGUGAAGACGGAACAUCAAAAACCAUCUGACUUAUUGCAACCUCUUGAGAUACCCGAAUGGAAGUGGGAAAACAUUACAAUGGACUUCAUUUCGGAUUUACCGCAAACGCAACGGGGACAUAAUGCCGUUUGGGUGAUCGUCGAUCGGUUAACCAAAUCGGCCCAUUUCUUGUCGGUAAGCAUGAAGUAUUCCACGGAUAAAUUGACUCAGGUGUACAUGGACGAGAUCGUAAGACUUGUUUCGGAUAGAGAUCCUUGCUUCGUAUCUCGGUUUUGGCAGAAAUUCCAAGAGAUUUUGGGGAUUAAACUCAACUUAAGUACCACUUAUCAUCCCCAAACGGAUGGACAAUCGGAGCGAACAAUUUAAACUCUCGAGGAUAUGUUAAGGACCUGUGUGCUGGAUUUUGGGGGUAAUUGGGGUCAACAUAUGAUUUUAGUAGAGUUUACUUACAAUAACAGCUACCAUUCGUCAAUUGAAAUGGCACCAUACGAAGCGCUGUACGGGAGGAAGUGUCGGUCACUGAUCUAUUGGGAUGAAGUCGGCGAGAGGAAGGUGCUAGAUCCAACAACUAUUCCAUGGAUGGAGGAUGCACAAGAAAAAGUCAAGUUGAUACGACAAAAACUCCAAACAGCUCAAAACUGACAAAAGAGCUACGCGGAUAAUCGGAGAAAAGAUUUGGAAUUCGAAAUUGGGGACCGUAUUUUUCUUAAGGUCACACCAUUACGAAGUGUCACGGCGGGUAGAGAAAAGAAACUUCGACUGAGGUUCGUCGAACCUUUCAAGAUUCUUCAGAGAGUUGGUAAAGUAACGUAUCGACUUGAACUACCAUCAAGUCUAUCCAAAAUUCAUGACGUCUCUCACGUCUCGAUGCUUAAGAAAUAUUAUCCCGACCCGUUUCACAUCUUACAACCGGAGGAAAUUGAGAUAGAUGAGUCACUCACCUACGAAGAGAAACCUGUACAGUUGCUUGACCAAAAGGUUGAGGAGCUGAGAAACAAAUGAAUUCCUUUGGUGAAGAUCUUAUGGAGAAAUCAUGGGAUAGAAUAGGCUACCUGGGAGGUGGAAGAAGAAAUGCAAAAGAAAUACCCUGAACUGUUUGUGAAUCCAGGUGAGAAAUUUCGAGAAUGAAAUUCUUUUAAGGGGGGGAAAGUGUGAGAACCCGAAAAUUUUCUUAUUUUCUAGGCUUUAUUUUGUUUAAUUGCAUGCCUUUUCACUAUUUUCUUUAUUAGAAAAAAUUUUUAGAUAAUUUUUAUGAGUAAAUAUAGUUUUUAAAUUAUUUUUCUGAUAUAAGUUAAUUCAUGAGAUUUUAGGAGUGUAUAUUGGACAUGGAACCCGCUAUUGCGGUAAGUGCGCUAAAUUCAGGCAAUUAGAUUCAGUUUUGUAUACAGGGAGUAAAUCACUGGGUGUUAGGUGAUAAUUAGAGGUUGCCUAAAUGGAUUGGUGUUGGAGAGACAAAAGGAUAGCUUUGAACCAAAGGGUGACAAAUGUCACUUUGUGAUUAAAGGUUGGACUUUGACCAUCUUACUUACCUUUACCAAAUAUUCAAAAAUUGACCCAAAAUUCAUCAUCAUACAUCUCUCUCUUGGCCGACUCUCUUAGGGAGCAAAAGAAAGGAAAACCUCCAACUUUCUUCUUCUCAAUCUUGCUCAAUCUUACAACCUAACCAUUAAAACUUCAAAUUUCUCCAUAAAAACCCUUUGCAAGGUAGUAUUGAGGUAGUUGGUGGAGUGGUUUGGAAAGAGGAGGUGCUAAGUUGCUUCUUUUCUUAAGUUUGCAAGGUAAGUGGUUAAGGAAUCUUUCUUUUGUUUUUGAUAAUAUUCAAUUAGUGCCUUGUGUUAAUCAAAGAGGUGGUUUUGUGGAAGAUUUCAUGACUUUUGGUAGAGAUUGAUGAAUUUAUGUUUUUAUUCAUGAUUUUUCUGAUUUUAUAUGAUUAAUAUUGGUUGGCCAUGGAUGAUGGCUUAGUAUAGUCUAGAAUGAAGUUUUGGUGUGUUAAUUGUAGCUUUUUGCCGAAAAUUUCUGCUUUGUACGAAAAAUUUCAGAUUUAGGGUUUUGAAUUGGGGCUUUUCUAGGGUUAUUGUGGGACUCUUGAAUUGGCUUUGUUUAAAGGGUAUUGUAACCCUAAUAAGAUGUAUUGAAGGGCCUAUGACUUGCAAUUGUAAUUGUGGUUGUGUUGGGGUAAUAUAAGUGAGUGAUUGUAGGAUGAAAAUUUGAAAUUAUAAGGGGAAAUGCUGUCCUAAAUUUUAGGUUCAUACGAUUUCUUGGAAUUGGGUUGCUAGAGUGUUAAUUAGUGACCUUAGGAUUGUCUAAACCUUUAGCACCAAGUGUACCUUAUAUUAUUUUCAAGUUAUUACGGCUUUACAUUAGUGAUGUGUAGUUUGGAUUUAUGACUCAUAAUCGAGUCUCAUUGUGUUUUAUUGAAUGUUUUAGGGCGUGCCGGUGACGCAAGGCGUUCGUUGGACGGAAAUUUGUGAAAACUUCUUUGUUUGAUUGGUGAGUGUAUUACUCACAUGAUUGUUACUUCAUGGCUUUGUUAUACUUGAAAUCUAUGACUUGAAUGCUUGCAUAUAUUAUUGAGAUUGAUUGAGACGAGGGUGUACUUUAUCACUCCGCACUCUAUGUCUUAUGUGACUGUUUACUAUAUCAAUUGAAUGUCACUUGAAUAUACUUGAACCGGUGUCGUUUGGACGUGUAUCCAAUGACCUUUACUGUUAACACUGAGUUCAACCUCAUGGGUGGUCAAUUGAAUCAAGCCAGCAAGGGUUUGAUCGAGAAAAUUGACAAGCCAUGAGGACUGUUGAUGUUGAAUCCUUGAGUAUGAGACUCUUGAUUCUGGUAUACUCGAGUAUUAUCAUUUUUGAACUGAUUGGAGUUCGGGCCCGGUAGGAGUAUGUGAGGUGGACAGAAAUUGGAGAAAAGUGAAGUCUGCGGUAUUCGCUAUUCUUUAUACAUUGACGGAGAGUCAAUGAGGUAAGAUCAAGUAUGGCAAGCAAGGAAAAGGGCUCUUGAGAGCCAUCUGUAUCCUUUUACAAAUCUUUAUCGAAAUGUGGUGCUAGUUAACUCAUUUAUUGAAUGACUUUGGAUUGAGUGGCUUUGUGCUUGCAUGAACUUCGUUACUUGGGUGAUGGUAUUUCAUUGGGCGAAAGCUCACUCUAUUGCCUUUGUUUUCCUUAUAGGGAUAUGAAUAACUUUUGGAAGACUGUGAUUUUGGGAGCCGAGUGAGCUAGUUUAUUAUUCUUUUGUCUAGCUCCUCGAUAAUUGGAAAACUUUAAGUGUAUUUUGAUCCAACAUCUCUUUAGAGUUGUGAAUUUGCAACUUUAUGUGUAUAAACAUGUUUGGUCAUGUUCAUGUGUUAUGUUGGUUUGUAAAUGCUAAAUUCGAGGUUUAUAUGAUUUGUUGGUGAAUGUUUGGGUUUCAGACAGGUUCGAUUUUUGAAUGGCAAAAGAAAAAAUUUUGGCGGGAAUUACUGCGGGAGAAUCCGGCCGCAAAUUCGGUCAAUUCUUGGCCGGAUUGCUGGCCGGAUUGACUGGGGAAGUUUGGAAUCCGGGUAGUUGGUCUUUGCUUACAAUCUGGCCAAGAAUCUGGCCGGAUUGUGAUGUGGCCGGUACUGUUCAUGUGCGGCUCCGAUUUUCGUUUUUCUGUUUCGUGAUUUUUGAAUCGUUUAAGCGCACUUUUAUCUUCCGGAAUGUUUUAGAUUGUAUUUAACUGUCUCGUUAGUCCUGGCGAGAGAUGGACAGGCAGUCCGCUAACCCCUUUGGUACGCCUUAGGGGGUGGUGGGGCUGUCACAGUCUAGAUUUCACCUUUUAUGUGCACAUUUGAGAAAUUGUAUGUGCAUACACAUGUGCACAAUUCAGUGUACAUAUGCACAUUUACAUAAACUCAAAUAUUCACAUUCGAAUCAAUAAAAUGCGCAUUUGUACGCAGUAGAUCCAGAUGUAUACAUAUGCUCACAGAAACACAUGCACACAUGUACAAUAUGGGUGUUCAUGAAUACUUAUUGUUAUUCAAUAAAUAAUGUGUAAAUUACUAUAGCAAUAAGUUAUUCUUUAACAAUAAAUUUAUUAAUCACGCCUUAUUUACAAAUUUUUAAAAACUUACACCCUUUUUAAUAAAGAAUAUGAUUUUUUUUGCUAUGUCAAUAGCUAAAGGCGACAAUAUUACGCCACAUGAGUACUUCUUACAUAACAAGUGAUAACAUUUCAUGCAUGAGUUAGUACUUUUCGUACACCUUGUGAAUACAUUAUCUACAAGAGAAAUUUUACAAUUCAAAUAUAAUUAGGUGAUUAUAAACAUGGCUUGUCUUACAAAUUAAUUUAGAUGAGAAUUUUUCUUCGUUUUUUUAAAAAAAAUUUCUUAUAGGUGAAUUUUACAUUGUUCUCACCUAUGGUUAAAUUAUACAUAAUUCACCUAAUAAGCACAUCAUUUCAUGAAAAGGAAGCAAAAUUCUCAUGCAACAAAUUAACCUAUAAUACAAACAUGUUCUUCAUCACCUAAUAAUAUUAGAAUUCUAAGACUACUCUUGAUAAAAUACUCACACUGUUUAAGAAAAGUGCUAAUUCAUGUACAAAAUGUUACGACUUGUGCAAAAGGUCCUCAUGUAGUGUAAUAUUGUUGCCCUUAGCUAUUGACAUAGUAAAAACAAGGAAAAAAAGAAAAUAUGUUCUAUAUUAAAAAGAGUGCAAGUAUUUAGAAAUCUGGAAAUGGGGUGUGAAGUACUUUUCACGGUCUAAAAUAGUUAAUAAAAUAUAGCAAUAUACAUACAUGAAUUCAUUACACACACACACGCACCAAGCUAAACAAACAAAGCUCUUUUGUUUGUUGAUUGCAUGUUGGAAAUUCUAAUUGAUCAGUUUUCUUGAUGGGUCCUGGCUGAUUUAGUUGAUGUACAAUGUUCUUCAACUGUUUAACAUAUUCCCCUUUGUUUAUAGAGGACGCACGCCUUAUUGUGAUUACGCUUUUUGCUGUAAACCUGGUGGUAAACUAUUUUGGGAUUCCUUUAGAACUAGGCUUGGAUUUGUUCACUUUGUAUAUGUUUUGUGUAGAAAGCAGGCCACUAUUUAGUGUAUCUUUGUCUCAUAAGUAAUAACGGUAGGAUUUGGGAUUGCUUGAGGAAUUCAAAUUUUUGACCCAAGCAACUGAAAGAUUAAAAAAUAGUGGAGGAUAUCGGAAUAUAACUGUUUGGAGGAUUAUAUCUCUGUUUGAAAAUUUGAAAUCUUCAUUCUAUUUUUGCAGAGUGAAUUUUCAAAUUUGGUCCAUAAGUAUUCCACCAUAUAACGAAUCAGGGUGGGAAGUCAUAUUUAUUUGUUUACUUAUUACAAAAUAGGUAAGACUGUUGGUUUAUAUGGUUUUAAAAUGAAAAAAAUUUGAAACCAGGCAAUUUUGUUGUUCCAAUAGGUUGUUGUUCACCUGGAACUAAAAAUAAAAACAAAUAUGUAAAGAAAGAUUAGACAAUAACAAUAUAUUAAUACUUAAGUGUGGAGGGUUGAGGCACGGGUAUUUAUCUCUUUUUAAGGUAAUUCAAGCCUCUGCGGAAGAAUCAACUCUGGUGCAGCAGGUUCUCUAACUUGUCAUCCCUAAUAUACAACGGUCCAACCACACCUGUUAGCACUCUUUUUAGACCGCACAACUAGGAGAGUAUAGCUCUACAAAUACCUUUUUUUCUUGCCUAACUAUGAGAUAGAAAAUAGUGAAUUUAGACUAAAAAACCAUAAGUUGUUGUAGUAGAACUUUUCUAUCUCAACUAUGCAUAUAUAUAGGUGAAGAAAAGUUAGACAAACAUAACCUAUAUUACUAAUAAAAUAACAAAUAAAUACUGAAAUUAUUGGCUAUUCAAAACACAUUCAAAUUUUUAUUGUAGGUUACAAAAAACUUAUUGAAAAAUCAUAAUUUCACAUAAUGAUUCUUUGGUCAAUACCCAUUCAAUCCAAAUUUGAAUUGUAAGUUACAAAACCUCAAUGUAAUUGAAAAACCAUAAUUUCAUAUAAUAAAUCUUUAGUAAAAAUCAUUCAAACACCUAUAAAUUUGAAAAAAUUUUACCAAUUUAUUUCCCUUAUAGCAUGCACAUUUAAUUGAGAAUUUAAUUAUUUUAUUAAAAUACUACAACAAUCCCCCACUUAUUUUUAAUAAAAUAGUAUAAAAUUUAAAUGGCAAGAAAGGACUAUCAUACAUAAUAUAGGUAGCAUUGCCUUCAACUUAUAUUUAGUGUUGUAGUAAUUUCUUAUAUCAAAGCCAGUAGUGAACUACAGUCUUGAACUAUGGCUACUUAUGGGGUAUUAGAUAUUACCUUACCCAUAUAAUAGUCCAGGUGUUCUCAUGAGCUCUCAAAAUUGGCACUUUUCAGCCCUGUGCUCAAUUUUAGUUUCAUGAGUGUAUUAGAGAAUAAGUCCCAAUUCUCUUUAGGACGGCCCUACCCAUAACACUCAUAUAGGUGAGAUCCAUCAAUAGCGUUCCUAUAAUUCAAACAGUCCACUCAUCAGAGUUAUAGAUUUCAUUAAGAGUAAAGAAGCUCAACUGUACUUACAUUAUAGGAUAUAUGCACAUAUAUCAUAGGGAUGGAAUAUUAAUAUAUAAGGUUGUGUCUAUCUUUAUUCAAAUCACUAUGUAAUUCACUUUUUCCUUUGAACCUAAUUUUUGGGAUCUUCAAUCAUUAGGUUGGGUGUCCUCACAUGCGAUUUAUAUUAACAAGGUUAUUGACAAAGGGUGUGUGAGAACCAGAGAAAAUUAUGUGUAUACUCUAAAAUUAUUUUAUUUUAUUUACUUUGAUAGUAGAAAAAUUAUAUAUAACAAAUAAACGGUUACCUUAAAUGCCUAAUUGAAUCCUUAUAAAAUUGAGAAUUUAAAAAAUAAAUUCAAUAAGUACAUGUCUAAUAAGUUUCUCUUAAAGCUAAAUGUGUCAAAAUCAACGUAAGAAAAUUAUCCACGAAAAUACAAACAAAGUUAGGAGUCCCUGCAUGAAAUCAUAAAAAUUUCAGGCCUUGGAGAGCAAUUAAACUACAACUGAAAGACCAAACUAACCUUAAAUUGUAGACUAAUUACCAUGCGACCAUCACUUGGGCUAUUUCACAAAACAAUUGGAACCGAAUGCAAACUCUGUUGAGACCAAGCGGUGGAAAUAAAACUAGCUGGGAUUUGGGGCAGUGAGUAACCCUUCUUAAGACAGCUGCUAGGAAGGGAAUAUAAUAUCAAAUGUGCUGAGUAAGUAGUGACCGAAAGGCUGUAGUUUACAGCAACAAAACUGGUAGUGCUGAGGGCAAAAACUAAAGCUGCCUUCCCUUCUUGCUUUCCCUCUAAAACAGACCCGAGGGAGUGAGAAAAGAGAGCAAGGUUGAGAGAGUGAGAACAAGAGCCUGGUGAGCUUCGUCAGUAACUAACCCAAAGACUGGAAAGAACAAGCUGGAAAGGAAACUGAGUUCGUCUGCAUUUCCGAACAGUUAAGACUAGAGGUAAGUGUGAAUAACCACUUUCUGUUUAGUUGAUUUAAUCCGUUAAACAUAAGCUAUAUAUGUUGAGAUAGCUAAGAAUUAUUUCUGGUGCACUUGAGUACGUAUGUAGUAUGCUAGAUUCUAGUUAAGGAAAUUAAGUUCGGUUGCAGGAAAUCUUGCUUAGAACUGAUGGUCUGUCCUCUAGCCAAGAGAUAUGUAUGAAUUAAACUGAUAGCUAUCAGAGAAGGACAAAACGAAUAACUGGAAAUGUAGGAAACCUACUCACCUUGAAUAACAAAAACAGGUUACCCGUAGGAACUUGUAGGAAUUGGAAAUUUUGCAUGGAAGAAAUCUGAUGCAGGCUGCAUCAGUUUAGCAGUCUUGCGCAGACCUGAGUUUUCAUUCAAUUUUCUUCUAAAUUCUGGCCAUAAUCUGCCAUGUUUUGCUUAGGAUAAUUUGUGUUGGAAUCAAUAUACUCUGUACGUUUGGUUGGCAUAUGAAGCUGAGGAGGAACUAAGUGGAAAAAAUUGCUACUAACUAACUACUGAAACCUGUUGGCUUCGACUGGGAAGAACAGUUAGGAAGUUCUAGAUAUCCCCUGCAACCCUUAGCUCUUAAACCUGUGUAGUAAGCUGUAACAUAUCAUAAAGUCCAUAAACUUCAACAAGAAAGACAGAAACAAGUAGAAACUCAACUAAACAUUAAGGAAGGACUGAGUGCAGGUGAAAGCAGAAUGUUGGCCGAGGGAGUGAAGCAGAAUGUGCUUCUGUCCGGCCCUUUUUGACCCUAAAAAUGUGAGAAUUGGAUGUCGAUGUCUUCAUAAGAAAUGUAGAUCUAUAUCUUAGUUUUGAAACGCUAUAAAAUUUGCCCUAAUCCGAUAAGCGUAGCUCCAGUAUGAUCAAAACAGUAGAGGGUGGUAAAGCUGCCUUUCUCUUUGCCUUUCUUUUGUUUCCCGAAUGCAUUUUUGCGAUAAUGCUAGCCGUGAGAAUCAACUUUUAACCAGUAUUUCAUCUAAUUUCCAACUUUGUAAGCUUUCAUAGAUGAUAGUUAAGGCUACUUUGUAGCUUAAUGAAUAUGAGUUGCCUAUCUAGUGAGAGCAUGAGAUUGAGAGGAAGGAGUGGAGGGAAUAAUGAGUGCUGGAUCGUGUACAUUGCUAGAAAAAAAUUAGUGGUGAAUUUAUACGAAACAUCUCAUAGCAUUUUGACACUAACUAUAUGAACAUUUUGAGAACUUAAAACUAGAAAACUAAUAAAUUUAACAAGACGUAAACCACAGGCAAUCUAGUAUUUGAUUUAACUUAAAAAAGAAGGAAUGAAAGGUCAAUUUAUUCUAACCUUAAAAUAUUGAGUAGAAAAUAGUUUAAUCCUAAUCCAAACAUUUUACAAAGCUAUAAACUUGAAAAUAUAUAUCUUUCUUGAUUUGAAACGAAAGUUAAUAAGUUCAAGAGAAAAUGUGGGAUAGGUUGUUGGAUUUGUUAUAUCUUGUUUUAUAAGCCAAACUUGACUUUAGUGGUUUAAAUUAUAAAGUAACAAAUGAUAAGUGAUCAUAUAUAAAUUGUAUAUCAUUUUAGAACUUAGAGAACUAGUGUAAAGAAAUAACAUUUAAGUUACAAACGACUUAAAGUUAAUUAGUUAAAACGGGGACCAAUGGAGUGUUCCUAAAUUUUAAUAUUGGAAUCUUAAGUGAAAAAUAGUCUACUCUUAAUUUAGACAUUUUAUAAAUUAUAAACUUGAAAAAUAUGUAUAUUCCUUGGUUUAAAUGAUAAAGUCAAUAAGUCGAAAUGACAUAUGGAAUAAAUAUUGAAUAUAUUAUAUUUUAUAUUUUAAAGUCAAACUUGAUUUUAAUAACGUGAAUAAUUGGAUAAUAAAGUACCUUAAAGGUAGUUAUUUCUAAAUUUCACCUUAUUAAAGGUUAAUGUUAAAUUCAGUUGAUUUAAAAAGCUGUAAUUAAUGAAUAUUGAAUUGAGAAAGAUAUAUUCCUGAUGUAAAUAUUAUACAAGGAUACAAACCUGGGAAAAAUGUAUAAUUCUUAGUUGAAAAUAAUAAAGUUAAUAAAUUUUGAAAUAAAAUGUAAAAUAAAUAUUAAAUACUAUAUUUUGUAUUUUAAAGUCAAACUUGACUUUAAUCGAUCAAAUAAUAGGAUAAUAAAUAAUAAGUGAACAUCUACAAAUUAUAUAUUCACUUUGGAAUUAUGAACUUGUCUCAGGAAGUAGCUGUGAGUUAGGAAACAAACCCGUGGCUCGAGAAUAAUUUAUUUGGGUAUUUGGUGAGUGUUUUUCGAAUUAUGUGUUAACUGUUUAUGUGUGCUUAUAAUGAAUAUGUGACAAAAUGUGCUUAUUAUGAAUAUGUGACGGAAUGUGCUUAUUAUAAAUUAUUGCUAAGUGAUUCAUCGUAAAGUGUAUCUCAAUUCUAAGUCAGAGGUGUACUUUAUCGGAAUGUGCUUAGUUGAGGUUGAAAAUUGAUAAUUGACUAAAUGUUACUGUAAGUGUGCAUGAAUGUAAGUCGUAUGUGUGCCUCGACGCGUCGGCUGAACUGGGCUCCAAAACCCUCUGUUCAACGGACUAUUCGAGCUAGCAAAAGGCUUGGUCGAGUAGGACGGUAGCUUUGGGUUAAUGUUACUCGAGUAUUACCUUGAGGUUGGGAGAUUAUUGAACUGAUUAUUGAAUGUAGGAGAUUAUUUAUUGUUUUGGAGGAUAUAAGGAGGUGAAUUGAUGGAGUGUGUGCAAUGAUAUUGAAAUGAGUGUCUCUUGACACUGAAAUGAAUGUACAAUGACAUUGAAAUGAAGGUGCAAUGAUAUUGAAAUGAGUGUCUCUUGACACUAAAAUGAAUGUACAAUGGCAUUGAAAUGAAGGUGCAAUGAUAUUGAAAUGAGUGUCUCUUGACACUGAAAUGAAUGCUCAAUGACAUUGAAAUGACUUCCAGGUGGAGUGCAUAUCCUUUUGAAAGUGAUUGCACAGUGAAAUGUGCACUUCUUGCUUAAUUGUACUGAUUUAAGUGUUUAUUAAAUGUUACUUGCUCGGCAAAUCUCACUGAGCUUUAGCUCAGUCCUUUAAUUUUGUUUUCCUUACAGGAGUUGGUGGUCGGGGAACGAACGAGGGAUCUUAGGAAGUUAACGUGAAGACUUUUGUGAUUGUAAAUCCUUUAGUUUCAUAUUAUAGUUGAAAUUUUUGUAUUGAAUUUGGUAUUGUAAAAGAUUUGAAAUGUUAUCUCUAAAGUUAAUGUAAGUAAGUGAGCCCUGGCGAGAGCCGACAGGCGAUCCACUAACUUCUAGGGUAUGCCCUAGGAGGAGGUGGGGUCGUCACAGGGUGGAGCAAAAGUCAUAAAGGUUCAAAUAUGUACAAAAUGCACAUGAAAAUCAAAGACUAUAGGAUGGAGCAGUUGGCUUGGAAAAGAAAGAUGAAUUUAAAUUCUGGGAAGAUGAUUCAAGAUAUUAAAAUAGAAAUUGACGAAACCAAGGAAAUGGGAGAGAUGAAGGAAGGAUCAAACUGGUUGGACUUCACAAGAGGCCAGGAGAAGUUAAGAAGAGCAAUUUUGGAGCCAAAAAGUUAGGAUUAAAUAGUUAAAGAAUGGGGACAAGAGCUCAGCUUUCUUCCAUGCAUCGAUGAAGAUAGAAGAUGAAGGAAUAACAUUUCAGUCUUACAGAAUGAGGAGAAGAAAUGGUGUAGGACUGAUGAAGAGCUAGAGUGUAACGGCCGCACCUCCCCCUAAGGCGAACCAAAAGGGUUUGGCGGGUCGCCUGCCCAGCUCUCACCGGGACUCACUCACUUAUUACAACUCUUAAAUGAAAUCGGAAUAAAAUCACAAGAAUAAAUAGGGCAACGAUCCAAAACUUAAAGCGGAACUUAUAUACAUUUCCAACCCAAAAGAGAGUAUAAAUAUCGAAUAUACAAAGGUUCUCAAUCCUUCAUACGUCCAGUCCGUGCCAAGCACUGGGACGAGAACCAUUACAAAAAAAAAUAAAAGAACUAGACUAGGCUAGUCUAUGCUCUCAUCCUGUUCGCCGUUCCCUAUUAAGAAAAACAAAACUAAAGGGGUGAGUUAAAAGCUCAGUGAGGUUCCGAACACAUAAUCAAAUAAUCAUUUCAAUACAUGAAACAUGGAGUAUCAAUAAUUCAAGAAACAUUUACAAUGGAAAGCGAUAGUAACAUAUUCAUUAAAAGGAUACGGGCUCACAGGGAGCCAUGCUUUCGUUCGUUCAUUCGUUCUCCUGACAGUUCCCCUUAUUCCUCCAUUCUUUUGAAGAAUGCAUUUUGUAAUUAAAACCCUCGUUCGUUCUUUCAUUCGUUCAUUCACCCCCUUCCCGGCCGUUGGCUAGGCUCCACCCAUCCGGACGUUGUCCGGAUUACAAGGUAAUACUCGAAUAUACCAAACGUUCACCCAGGGUCACCAUAUCGCCCGACCGAGUCCGCUUCUGGCUCGAGUCGAUCGGUAACGAAGGGCAGGGCCCAAUUCAGCCGAAAGGCUUACAUCAUGCGCAACUGAUGUAUUAAUCAUUAAAGCAUUGAAAAUUUCACGUUUCAUUUAGGUCGAGCGCGAUAAAGUACACACUCGCCUGGAAAAUUCGUUUGGAAAUCAUUGGAAACAUUUAACACAUGAUCAAACAAUAACAACAAGUCAUGAAGUCAAGGGAGAUAUAACAAACAAGGAACACUCACCUAUGUACGCAAAACAACUUGCAAAAUAUCCUUCCGGAUAUUAUCCUUAGUCACCGAGAAAACCUAAAGUUAACGAGACAGAAUAUUAUAGCUCAUCUAGCAUAAACAAUUAGGUAUUUAAAGUGAAACGAGGACAUUUAGACCCGUAGACAAAAUAAUUAGGGUUUCGUAGACCAAAUGUAAAACCAAAUUCAAAAAGAUUAUAAAAUUUUCCAAUGAAACACUUGAACCAAAGACAAGUCGGAAUCCAACUAGAUAGGCUAAGAAAUACUGUUUUCGGAAUCGUUUAUAUAGUUCAAAAUCAUCUCAUAUUCAAGUAGAUUUUAUAAACUAAAGGUCUUAAUGAAAUUCAUGUAAAAGGGAGAACAAAGUACCCAAGAAAACCCUAAACCACUUCUCUUUAUUUGGUAAGAGUAAGUAAACAUUUGGAGUUUCCAAUUGAAGAAGGACCAUGUUUUAAGAUGGAAAAAUGGUCAUAGUAUUUGCCAAAUGAAAAUAUACAAGUUCAAAUAGAAAAUUAGUCCUUGAGCGAAAAUUUGGGCAGCACGCCCUUUGUAUUUACCUAUUUUCCAGCCAUUUAUGGCUUCAUUGUUUUCCUCAAUCAAUCCCAAUAUUACACACAACAUAAACAACCACUCAAUAUGCUCAAGACUAUACAAGGACAAAAAUUUAAGCUAACAACAAGUGUGGAAAUGAAGUUUACAAAUGACAGUUUUGACGGGUUUUUACGGAAUGAGCACAUCUGAGGCUACGCUUAUCGGAUUGAGGUGCAAAUUAUACCAUUUCGAAGCUAAGAUAGGGGCUACAAGGUUGAAGAAGGCCACUCAGUCCAGUUUUCAAUGUAUCUAGGUCAAAUUUACCUAAACAACUCCAGAUUUUCCAAUUCAAAGUUUACUAUAGCAGUCCUGACUCCUUCAGUCAUAUCUCAGAAUAUACAACUCCAAUUCAAGUGAUUCCAAAACCAUUUGAAAGCUAAGAUACAAGGCUAUAAGUCUGAAGAAGACAUCGACAGCCAAAUCAGUAGUAUUCCUGGUCAAAACAACUAAUUACAGAAGCUGAUUAGUAUGUUCGGAUAGAAACAGGGUAGCAGGGGUAUUUCAGUCUUUUCACAGGCUACGUUGCUCCGAUUGAGUUGAAAUUUUGUAGGAUACUAUAAAAUAUCAUUCUCUACAACUUUCAUGUUUUAACCCAAAGCUAAUUCAGCCUCUAACAUGGAGCACUAAAACCGGACAGAAUUGAAGUCAUAUUUGCCAGAAAUCUGGAAUUUUCGGUUUCAAGGGAAACUUUCUUCAUUUCUUGCUUCAAUCACUACCAAAGCCCCUUAUAUAAUCUCAGAUACAACAUAUAUUAACCAUACAGCAAGUAUAGGCAGCAAUCUUUCAAACCCUAACUCAUAUAUCUAAAAAAAAUUAUACACUAUCCACCCAAAUCUUGAUAAUAGCUAUCAUCCACCACAAAUUUAAGGUGCUAAGCCAAUUUAAACAAGAUCAAGAGUAAGAAAUGGAGAAAUCAUCAUCCUUACCUUGUUUAAGUGUUUACCAAGAGCAACCCUAGCUUCCCCUUCAAAAUUUCACCAACACCUCACUAAAUAAACACUCAAGGAUAGCUUUAAUCGGUUUAGUUUUCUUUCUUUCUCACUUGGUGGCUAGAUUCAAGAAGAAAUGGAGCAGCUUUCUCUUGGUGUUUUUUCCUCUCUCUCUCUCGGCCAAGCAGCAGAAAAAAUGAAGAAGAAAGAUGGCUCCAAGUGAUAAGAAGGCAAGAAAAAAAAAAUCAACCAAAGAGCCAUAGGGUGGUGACACUUGUCACCACCAAAGCCACACAAUUUUCUCUCUCUCUCCCUUGCAUUUUUGGCCCUAAAUUUCGGUCAAAGCUAGCUGAAAAUAAGGAGAUAUUUUGCUCAAGUAUUAAUGAGCUCAUGUGGUAAGAAAGUGGUGGUCAAGAGGUACGUUCAAUCGGUAGUGCGCGGUACCUGUCGGUUCGCGCCGUUUUUCCUUAAAUCACACGUACUAGGGUUUUUACUUCCUAUUCACUAACUUUAUAUCAUUGCUUCUAAUCACAUAUUAUUUUUCACCUAAAAGUCACUCUUAAGCACCAAAUUUGAUCCUCGCUCCGUACCGGAUAAUUACACUACGGAUACACGUGAAAACCCUAACUUGCUCCAACUUGAAAACGAAAAGUGAAACCCUACUUUCUAGGUUUAUUUGCACUUAUUGUGGAAUGAUUGGGUAGUAGGGCUAUAAUAAAAUCAUAAGUUCCAAAUAAAAGGAAAUUUUUAAGAAAAACGUGAGGCAUUUACAAUUCCAUAAAUCGAAUUUAGGGUUUCGGUUAAAACGUGAGAAAUAUGAGAAAACGGUCAGUCACAAAUGAAACUAGGGUUUUGAUUAGACUUUUAGCGUUUCUAGUAUUUUAAACAAAACAAGGUUUUAAAUCAAACCCAAAGAAAUAACUUUAGUUUCUUCUUUAGAACAAAAUAAUGUUUUAAAAUAAAAAUAAACUAAAGAAACCGUAAUAUCCUUUUUGAGACUAAACAAAAGGCGAUUCUAAAAGUUGGGGUAUCACAUAGAGGAGGAAAUAACCAAAUAUUUCAAGGAAUUGUUCACUACCUCUCACCCAGAUGAUGGAGCAGACAUUAUCCAAGGAAUUUCACUAUUUAUGACUGAUCAGAUAAAUGCAAGGCUAAUGGGAAAUGUGAUAGAACAGGAGGUUAAAAAGAAAAUAUUCUCAAUGCACGCUACCAAAGCCUCAAGUACUAAUGGUAUGACUCUAGUUUUUCAAAAGUUCUGGCAUAUCAGCAACAUGGAUGUCUAUUAAGCAAUCAAGAGUUUCUUCAAUCAUCUGGAAAAUUGCUAAAAGCUAUAAAUGAAACUCUUCUAAUCACCCUCAUUCCUAAAGUUGAAGCUCCUAGUAAAAUCUCUCACUAUAAGCCCAUUAGUUUGUGCAACAUCUUCUACAAAAUCAUAACAAAAAUUCUAGUAAACAGGCUGAAGCCUCUGCUUGGAAAAUACAUCAAUAACUCUUAGUCAGCUUUUAUUCCAAAAGACAGAUCAUAGAUAAUGUUUGAUUGCUCAUGAAUGCAUCCAUGCCAUAAAUAAUGAAAGACCGGGGAAAAAGGAUCAUAUGGUGAUUAAGUUAGACAUGUCUAAAGCUUACGAUAGAGUAGAGUGGGAUUUACUUAGGAGAGUUAUGGAGAAAAUGGGCUUUUGUAGGUAGUGGAUUAAUUGGACCUAUGAGUGCUUGUCUAUUGCCUCUUAUGUAGUGAACAUCAAUGGGGAAAAAGGGGUAUAGUAAACCAAUUAGAGUUAUCAGACAAGGGGACCCUUUUUCCCCAUACUUGUUCCCACUAUGUACUGAAGGAUUAAUCAAUUUCAUUUAAAAGGCAGUACAGCAAAGGAAAAUUUCAGGAAUGAAAAUCUCUACUGCUAGCCCUACACUAUCUCACCUUUUUUUGUGUGGAUGAUUCAUUAAUAUUCUGCAGGGCAAAGAAGAAGGAAGCUAAAGUAGUGAUGCAUAUUUUGCAUAGAUAUUCAAGAGCCUCAAGACAGGUGAUAAACAUUGACAAAUCAUUUGUGAUGUUUAGUAAAAAUCUGAAUAAAGAGGAAAAGGAAGAGAUAUUGGAAAAGCUGGGAAACAUGCAUCAUGCCAAAGAAAGUAAGUACCUGGGAUUGCCUAUGGUGAUUGGCAGAACCAAAAUACAAGUCUUCAACUUCAUUAAAGAGAAGAUGAUGGGCAAAUUGAGUGGAUAGAAGAACAAACUCUUAAGUCAGGCUGGCAAGGAAACCUUACUAAAAUCUAUUAUUUUAGCCAUGCCUUCAUAGGAAAUGGCUUGUUGUAGGCUACCAAAGACCUUGUGUAAGAAUAUUUGUGGAGAAAUGGCAAAGUUCCAGUAAGGUCAAAAAGGUGAAGAGAAAAGAAUUUACUGGAUCAAAUGAAACAAGUUGGCUGAGGUCAAAGGAAAAGGGGGGCUUGGUUUUAAGGACCUUCAAAAUUUCAAUAUGGCUAUGCUAGCAAAACAACUUUGGAGGAUAAUUACCAACCCAACUUGUUAGUUAGUAGGGUACAGAAAGGUAGAUAUUUUAGAGGGAGAUCCUUAUGGGAUAUGGAAGGUAGGCCAAAUGACUCUUGGAUGUGGGAAAGUUUGUUAAGUGCCAAGAAUCCAUUGAAAGAAGGGGCAAGGAAGAAAGUGGGUGAUGGAAAAUCUAUCAAAAUCUAGACUGACAGAUGGUUACCACAUAGAGAGGAUGACAAAAUGUUAAUUAAGAAGCUAGUGGGAUGUGAGCUAUAAAUAGUGUUCAUGAUUUACUAUGUGCAGGAAAAUGGAAUUGGGACAUCUUCAAUGAAGUUUUUGGAGACGAGGAGAGAGCCAAGAUUGCAAGGAUUCAUACCAGUAUAUUUGACACAAAAUACAAACUAUACUAGAUACAUUCAGCAUAAGGAAAUUACACUAUAAAGUCAAGAUAUGCAGCAACCAGUAAACCUAUGGGAAGAAGAGCAAGUGAUGGGAGUAACCAGGGUAGUGGAAGCAGGGAAGAAAGCAGAACCAAUGUGUGGAAAGUGCUAUGGGGCAUAAACAUGAAACAUAAAAUAAAGCACUUCCUUUGGAAAUGCUUACAAGGAAAGCUUCCAGUAAACCAGGUAGUAAAAGAUAGAAUGGUAAAGAUGAUGCAAUGUGCAGGUGCUGUGGAGAACAGGUAGAGACACUUGAGCAUGUUUUAUUCUUUUGCCAGAGUGCUGAUAUGACAGGAAAAGUAGCCUCUAUAAAAUGGAAUGGUAUAAAGGACUUAAGAAAGAACUUUUGGUUAUCGUGGAAUGAGUUAAUGGAGGCAACAAAAAAAAAAGAAGAGGCAAGUUUGCUUAAUAGGGAACCUAUUAUGGCAAGUUUGGAAAAAAAGAAGUGAGGGACUGUUCUGGGGAGUAAAGAGGCAUCCUAUGGUUGAUAUUAACAAAGUUGUGCAUGAAUGGGAGGAAUAUAGGUAAGCACAGGAGAAGGAAAGAACUGAUUAACAUGUUGAAGGAGACUGUAUAGAGGAAAAAUAGAAACUACCAUAGAGAGGUUGGGUCAAACUCAAUACAGAUAUAGCUCUAAGUUCUGAAAAACAACAAGCAAGUUGGGGGAUAGUAGCGAGAGCACCAAAGGGGGAAGUCAUUGCUUGCUGGGCAAGGUAGAGCAAGGAUGCAUAUGCCCAAUAGUUGAAGAAGCUAGAGCAAUUAGGUAUGCUCUAGUUAAAGCAAAUAAAGCUGGACAAAGUAGAGCCGAGUGCCAAUCUGAUUGCAAGCAACUGAUCAAAAAGCUAAACUACUCACAAGAGAAGUUAACACUACUAGAUAACGUACUAGAGGAUAUAAGGAAACUUAAAAAGCUAUUUAGUGAACAUUGCUUUUCCUUCAUCAAAAGGAACAACAACUAUGUUGGUCACAAGUUGGCAAAGUUCGCCAUUGAUUCUUGCAUUGAGAUAUUCUGGAAGGAAUCCUUCCCAACUUGGCUAUUAGAUGCAGCCAAGAGUGAUGUAAUGAGCAGUUGCUCAACUUUAUGUAAUUAUGUUUUCUGAGCUAUAACAUGUAAGGAUCGAAGACAACCUAAGAGGGGGGUGAAUUAGGUAGUAUAAAAACUGGUUAAGUUGUGAUUCACUUUUUGAGAAUUUGGCCUCUUUUUCUAAAAGACCACACAAUGAAGCAAUUGAUAAGAAAGCACAAGUGCUUGUGAGUAGAAGAAAUGAGUAAUUUAUAUAUCAAGACAGUAAGUAAAAGAGAUAGAGAAUCGAACCAAAUACCAAACUCCCCUUGAGUUUGAAUAUCAUUUUAUAGAGCAAACUUCCUCAAGUUGAUCAACUUACAACCAAUCUCUUGUGUACAAGGGAAGGAUCACUUCCUCCUUGCCCCAAGCCACACCUGAUCAAGCAAGGAAGUUUUACUAUCAUUUGGAUAACCCUCACAAAGCUACACUAUUGAAAUAAUUGAAUCACCCUAUAAAAACUUAUCAAAAAUUACACAACUAAGAGUACAAAUCCUCUUUGAAGAGUAUUUUACUACUAAAAUCACUCUUGAUCUGAUGUAAUCUCAAUGUGCAAAGUUAUUUUGAAGUGGUUGACUUUGUUCUAUUUAUAUGGGACCAAAAAGUUUCUCAAUUAAUGCUUCAAUAGAUAGAAGGCAACUGAAGAGUCAACUAGUCGUUGGUAGUGUCGGACGUCCGGUAGACCAACUUCUUGCGUCCGAACGUAGGCAGUGAACUCAAGAAAUUUUCUUGACUUAUUUCAGACGUCUGGUACCUUUAAUCUAUGCGUCCGAAGGUAGGAGGUGAAACUGUGAAUUCUUCUUUAAUUCUUUUCGGACGUCCAAUGUCUCCAAGGUUUUGCGUCCGAAGUUUCGCAAUGCUUGUCGGACGUUCGAUGCUCUGAUGAUGUGCAUCCGAUCGAGGUCAGUGAGGUUAGAAGGAUUGACUCAAUAUCUUCAGACGUUCAAGGGUGAAGUUCUUCAUGCGUCCAAAGUUGUGCAAAGAUUAUCGGACGUCCGAUCCAGUCUUCUUGUGCGUCUGACAGCAGUUUCAGCAUUUUUUGUGCUUAAUUUUUUAACCUGUUUUGCUCCAUUUCUGAAAGGGUCUAUUAGGAGAACAUUAGUAAGAUCCAUUUGUUUUGUAAUCAUUAAAACCUACAGACUGAGAUAAACAAUCUCUCUUUUUUUGAUGAUGACAAAACAAUGGAUUGAGGAAAAUAAUUGGGGCACACCUCCCCCUUACUUGAUGCAUCCAAAGAGUGGAUAAACAUGUUCUCUCACAUAUAGAUUAUUGGACACUUCCCCUGAGUGGAUACUCCCCCUUACGUAUAGAUUACAUAUCCAUUUCUUUCCCUUUUUGUCAUCAUUAAACAAACCAGAAUAUAGUAUCCAAUACACAUCUUUAAUAUUUUCAGCAAUAUAAGAAGCCAAAACUAUCAAUAAUUAUCAGCAAUACUAUCAACACUUAUCAGCAAAACCAGAAGCCAAAACACAACAUCAUUAACAUUGACAAUUGUUAACAGCAGACUGAAUUAAGCAACAUUCAUCCAAAAAAUCGGAAUAAUCCACAAAAGCAACAUUCAUUCAAAAGAUAAAAGAUAACCAAAUAGUUUUACAGACCAGCAGAGGAGAGGAAAUAGAAUUCUUAAUACAGAACACACGAAAUGUUUUAAAAUGCAAGAGAGGCCAAAAGCCUGUUAUGGACUACUAUCCUAGUCAUGAAGUGCAUUUACCUAGAAGAGCCUAAAUGGUAAUCUUUGACGAUCCAAGCCUCCUCCUUACUAGGCGAAAUUGAGCAGGAUCAACUUGUUCCUCUUCAGUGUCCUCAUCAUAAUCCUCUUCAGUUUCUUCUUUAGUUGCUGGAGUCUUUCCCUUGUUCUAUGGUUAAGAACUGGAGGCACGAUACUCUAGAGUAGUUUCAGUAGUUGGCUCAGUUCUAGGCUCCUUUUGAUAUGCAUUCUCAUUGUCUUGAGGAAUGGAAGGCAUUAGCAGAUUCCUUUUGUCAAUGAAAGUGGCUUGUUGUUCGGAUGACAUGGCCAUCAUUAGACCAUCUUCAAGAAAUAGGAUGUAAUGUUUGAGGUCCUCAAGCAAAGAAAUGACCUCAAAGUUGGAUGAAGAGGACUUAGUAGCUGAUUUUCUAGGACGGAUAGUGAAGGGUGAGACAAACAUGGACUGAUCUCGAGGAGUCCUAGGGGUAAUAGGAGUUUCAUGAAAAUUUUUUCUUAUAGACUCCGAACAGUUUCCUUAUGGCACCAAUGACCCUAAAAAAAUUUCAGAUUUUUCUUUCAAAAUAAGCCUUAGAGAAAACAGUUUAUGCACUUUGUUUGGUGAUUUUUCAGAAAAGGGAAUUUCAAGAUGAGUAAAGAUAGGAGUCAGAAAUUUUUCAUAGAAAAGUUUUCUACGGCUAUCAGUGCUAAUUUUGAGCAAGAAUUUACACAUAACGAAGUCGAAAUCAAUUGUGAUUUUUUCAUGAAAGCAAUAGAACAGGUAAAGUUUCAUUUUGUUGGCUUCAGUUCUAUGACCAUCAGUAGGGACCAACAGAUUGAAAAUUAUGGAAAAGAUGAUCAAGUUUUGAGGAUUGAGAUCUUCCAAUCUUACCUCACCAGGAGUAUUAAAAUAGGUUUGAAAAUAAGUCAUCAAUUUGAGAACAUGAAAAUGAUGAUAUGCAGAAGGAAAUUCUUCAUAUGAAAAGAAGUUUGCAAUUUUUUCUUUAAAACCAUCUUCAAUUUUGGUUUCUAGAAUAGUGUUGACAAUGUUGGGGUUCAACUCUAUGUUAACAGAGUUGACACGUGAAACUAGAUCAGUGUGUGAUUUACCCUUCCUAAGGUUGGCAAAGAAUUGAUAAAGCAUGUCAGGAUAGUAUGUGUUUGGAAUGGUCAGAAGAUGAGUCCAUUUUUAGAAUUCAAAAAGCUUAAGAACUGGUUCAAGAUCAAACUUACGAAAUUUGUAUGGGAUGAUAGUCCUCUGAGUGAUGAAGCCUUUCUGCGAGAUCCAUUCGACUCUCUCACUGGCAUCAUCAUCAAUGAACUUUGAUAAGGGGGUUGGUUCCUCUGCAAUUUGAGCGUCAGGUUGCUCUUUGGUUGUGAGAACCCGUAAAUUCCUUAAUAAUUUUCCUAGGGUUUAUUUCCUUUAAUGGCAUGUUUUCUGCAUUUUCUGGCUUAGAAAAAUUUUCCUGGUGAAUUUUAUGAGUAAUUAUAGUUUUUAGAUGAUUUUCCUAGCAUUGGGUAGUUUUUGAAAAAUUACGGAGAGAUUAUGGACGUGGGACCCACUAGUGCGAAAAGUUCGGAAAAAUUCGGCCAAUAAGGUUAAGUUUCGGAUACUGUGUGAAAUUUAUCGGGUAUUAAGAGAUAAAUAGAGGAUGUUAAGUGAUUGAUGUGAGAGGAAAAGGAAGGGAUAGGAAUGCAUUAAUUGAGGUGACAAGUGUCACCAUUUCAUUGGGUAUGGCUUAUGACAACUAUUCAUGGUUUUUGACUUUUGACCAAAUUGGUUAAAUAUCUAAAAAAUUAACCAAAAAUCUCUUAUUCUUGUCUUCCUCUUGGCCGACUUUCUUGAGCUUCAAAAGAGAGAAAAACUCUUCAAGUUUUGGCUUUCAUCUUGCUUCAAUCAAACCAUCCAACCUUCUAAACUUGUUUCUACUCCAUAAAACCUCUUCAUUUAGUGAUAGUGAGUUGUUUGGUGAAGUUGUUUGGAAGUUUAAGGUGACAAGUUGCUCUCCCUCUUGUUUUACUAAGGUGAGUGGUGGAUGAACCCCUUUCCUCCCUCUAAUGAUGUUUAAUUUAUGUUUAGUAGUGGCAUAAGAGGCAAUUUUAUGGAUUAAUUCUUGAUUUGUGGUUGAAAUGAUGAAGUUUUAUUAUUUUGGGGAUUUUUCUGUUUUAAUAUAAGCAUGAUUGUGUGGCUAUCUAGGAUGAUUAGAAAUGGUAUAUAAUGACUUAAGGAGGUGGGAAAAGUGAACAAUUGCAACCAAUUUCUGGUUUGGGAAAAUUUUCAGCAAGUUAGGGUUUUUGGGUUGCACAAUCUGUCCGAAUUUUUAGCACAUAGUUAGAGGCCGAAUUGGCCUUGGCUCAAAACAUAAAAGUUGUAGGUAUUGAUGUGUUUGAGGUGCCUGUAAAAUUUCAGGUCAUUUGGAGUAGUGUAGAGUGAGAUAUGUCGAUUUUACUGUAGCUGUUCUGGGUUGAUCAGAAUGUGCAAACUGUGUUUGUAAUCGUCUGUUUUGACUGGAAUUGCUUUGGAUUUGGAUGUUGGUGUCUUCUUAUGAAAUGUAGCUUGAGGUCUUAGCUACCACAUGCCUUUGGAAUCAAUGCAUUUGGACCUGUAUAGACUGAGUUGGACUAAUUACAGCAUGGUGUGAUUUGUAAACCUGCAAUUACGGUUCUGGUUUGGUAUUCUGUAUUUUUGACCUAGUUGUGCUAGGAUUUGGACUGAGUGGCCUUCUACAUUGUUGUAGCCCUGGUUCUUAGCUUCGAAACGGUGGGUCUUACACCCUCAUCCGAUAAUCGUAGUGCAAUUUGUACCAUUACCGCAUAAUGAAGGCAAAACUGUUUUUGUUGUUAUGGCCAAGAUGGCUACAUUUCCUGAUUUUCUGGUUUGCUACAAUGCUUAUAUAUGCAUAUGAAAUCUUAUUGGAGUUGUGGUUGGUAUGGCUUUAUGACUCGUUAUCGAGUCUCCAUGUACUUGUUUGCAUGUUUUAGGGCUCGCUCUCAUUCCGGUCAUUUCCUAGCUAACUUUUGUACUUGUACUACUUUGAGCCUAGUGAACGGCUUUUGGGAAAUGAGAUGACUUUUAUGUGAAAUGUUGGGACUGAUUUGAGGAAAUAAUGAAGCCUUAAUGGCUGGAAAAGUAAGAAUUUUAGGGGAGGUGCUGCCCGAUUUUCUAGACCGUUUGGUUCCUUUAAGUUGGAUUUGCCUUUUGGUGGAAAUGAAAGGCUUUUGGGUUGUUUGCGCCUAAGUCUUCAUGUUACCUUUUUGUUUCCAAGAAAAUCAUGUUUUCCACCCUUGCAUUAGUAAUUAUUUGGCGAGGCAUACGACUAGUAGUCGAGCCUCAUGUGCAUUGUGUUUACUCGAUUAUGGAUGUGAAACCUUCAAUUGGUUUAUUUUGGUUAUUUUAGGGUUUCUUGGCGAUUAAGGCCAAUCUGAAGUAAAAACUUUUGAAGUUGAGCCGGUGAGUGUACCACUCCCCUCCAUUGCUGUUUAACUUGAUUUUUGCUCUGCAAUCUGUUUAAUUUGUUUGAGAUGAGGGUGUACUUUAUCACACUCGUUCUCUUGUCUGUUCAUAUGCCAAUUUUGAGUGCCUAUCUGAAUCUGCCGUCUGAAUCUGCUAUCUGAAUCUUCUAUUCUGUAUCUGUAUCUGAAUCUGUUAUCUGUGUCUGCAUCUGUUCGGAUUUCUAUGACCUAUGAGCUCAAUCCUGUGGCUAAGUUAUUCGAGUCGGGCCGGCAAGGGCCUGGACGAUUAGAUAACGAACCACGGUAGUCUGUUCGGGAAUUUUUGGGUAUUGAGACCCUUGAUUCCGGUAUACUCGAGUAUUACCAUUUCUGUUCGGUUACGGUGAGCGGGCCCGGUAAAGGGGGUGUUUGGUGGACGGAAUUCGGUGUGAAGAGGGGUUUACGGACGUUUUGGUUCUAUAUACGUUGACGGAGAGUCAACCGAUUUGGAUCAAGUACUGCGCUGGAAAUUUGGCUCCUGAGAGCCACCCGUAUCCUUCUGAUUUGAAUCAUUGGUUCCUUUGCUUUACAUCUGGCAUGUGUAUCUGAUUUGUAAAAUGUGAAAUGCCAUGAUUUUUCUGCUAUAUGUUUGGUACCUCAUUGAGCGCAAGCUCACCCCUUUCUGUCUCUUUUGUUUUCCUUACAGGAAAAUAAACACUUUUGGUCUGGAUUUGACAAAUGGCUGCCAAAUUGAGCUUGUGGAACAUAUCUUUUGUAUAGGUCAUGUAUUAAAACCCUAAGUGUACUUUUGGGGCGUUUUCUCUUUUGAUUUGGCAAACCGUGUAUAUGUAUCAACUUUUGAAAACUUUGGUAUGUCAUUUUGGAUUGUAAUCGCUAAAGUUCAGAUGUGAAUGUUUGCGUGCUCUUUCGAUUGGGUUCUGACGGGUCGGUUACUAUUCAUGGCCGACUCCGGAUUUCAUUUUAUUUUAUUUUGGGUUGUUUUACUAUUUUGAUUUGUUUACGCGCGUUUGUAAGUUCCGAAAUGAAGCAGAUAGCUCUAAUCUGAUCCGUAGUCCUGGCGAGAGUUGGGCAGGCAGUCCGCUAACCCCCUUUGGUUUGCCUUAGGGGAAAGUGGGGCCGUUACAUUGGUAGGACGUUUUCUCUUUUCACUGCGUUGAUCGGUUGGCACAGUAUUUUGAACACCAGACUUUGUCCUUGGUGACUUCCUGGUAGAAGGUUCUGCAGUUUGCUGUUCCCCAGCAUUUUUCUCUGCAGCCUACUGUUUCUCACUUUGCUCAACAGAAGGAAUGACAGUUUUUCUUUCCUUAGUUUGAGCAAUUCCCUUCCUUUUAGCGGACCUUUUUCCCUUUUUACUGUGGGAUUCCGUCACUUUUUUUGGUGUUUUUGUGACGGAUGCAUCAGUAUUGGUGGGCUGCUUCAUUUUCUCUUCACUACCACAACUGGAUGCUCUUUAGUUUGAUGCUCCACCAUCUGCUCAACAGAUGGUUCAACAGAUGGCUCACCAGUUUGAGCAUUCUGCUUCCUCUUUGCAGACUGCUUCGUUUUUCCACCACGAGUUCCAGUUCUCUUUCUGGAUGAUUUGGUGGAAGGUUCGACGACCUGAACGUCUUCAUCCUCUUCAUCUCUAAACCUGAAAGUGCAUCCGACACUGACAGACCCUCCUCUAGUUUUCACCAUGAUGCAAUGCAAGAUGAUGUUGUUGCAGAGUAUUGUGAGGACUCGCAAAUUUCUUAUAUUUUUCUCAAAAAUGACUUUUUAUUUAGAAAUUAUUCAUUUAUUAUAGCCCUACUACCCAAUCGUUCCACAAUAAGUGCAAAUGAACAUAAAAAGUAGGGUUUCACUCUACGUUUUCAGGAUUGGAGCAAACUAGGGUUUUCGCGAUUUUCCGCCGAAUGAUUUUUUGGUACGGAGCAAGGCUCAAAUUUGGUGAUUAAGAGUGACUUUGAGGUGAGAAAUAAUAUGUGAUUAGGAGCAAUGUUAAAAAGUUAGUGAUUGGGAAGAAAAAAACCCUAGUACGUGUGAUUUAAGGAAAAACGGUGCGAACCGGCGUGUACCGCGCACUACCGAUUGAAUGCACCACUGGACCACCACUUUCUUAUCACAUGAGCUCAUUGAUAUUUGAGCAAAAUAUCUCCUCAUUUCCAGCUGCCUUUGACCGAAAUUUAUGGUAAAAAAUACAAGGAAAAGAAAGAGAAAAAUGAGAGGAGGUGGUGGCGCCAAGUGUCGCCACCUAAGGGUUUCUUGACCAAGAGAUGGUCUUCCUUCUUAUCCCCAAUUUUUACUCUUUCUUCUUCAUUAUUUCUGCUGGUGGCCGAGACAAGAGAGGGGAAAAGAGAGAGCAAAACCCAUCUUCCUUCAUCUUGAAUUUGAGCUACAAAGCGAGGAAACAAAGAAAGUAAACCGAUUAAAGUUACCUUUGAGUGUUGAUUUAGUGAGGUGUUGGUGAAUUUUUGAAGGGGAAAGUUAGGGUUGCCCUUAGUAGACACUAAGCAAGGUAAGGAUGGUGAUAUCCCCAAUUUUUACUCUUAAUCUUGUUUAUAUUAGCUUAGCAUCUCAAAUUUGUGGUGAAUAAUGGUUGUUAUCAUGUCUUGGGUGUUGUUUUUCCUUGUGGAUACAUGAAUUAGGGUUUGAUGAAUUGCUGCCAAACUGAAUGUAUGAUUAAUAUAUGUUGUAUCCAAUAUUGUAUAGGGGGUUUUGGUAGCAAGUGAAGCAAGAAAUGAAGAAAGUCAUCAUUGGAAUAAAAAAUUUCAGAUUUCUGGAAAAAUUUCACCCUGUUCUGUCCGGUUCCAGUUUGUGUGGUUAGAGGCCGAAUUAGGCUUGGUAUAAAACAUGAAAGUUGUAUAGAAUGAUAUUUUAUAGUUGCCUACAAAAUGUCAGGUCAAUCGGAGCAACGUAGCCUAUGAAAAGACCAAAAUACCCUCACUAUUUUAGGAUGUUUCUAGUGUUCCGUUUUAGUCAGUUCAUCCAGUUUAUCAUGUUUAUUCAUUAUGAUCCGUGCUGAUUUGGCUGAUUUCCAAAACAUAAAAUUUUUAGUACUCUGUCUUAGCUUUUCAAUGCCACCAAGAACACCUUAAACGGACCUUGGUAGGCUGAGAUAUGGCCAUUUGAAUGCAGUACGGUUAAAUAGCCGAUUAGUUGGAAUUAGGUUAUGUGAAUUGGGAAUUUGAUUAGGUUACACAGGAAAUUGGACUAAGUGAUCUUCAUGAACAUUGGAGCCCUGUGUCUUAGCUUCGAAAGCGUAUAAGUUUCACCUCAAUCCGAUAAACGGAGCCUCGGAUGUGCCCAUUCUACAAGAACCCGUCAAAACUGUCUUUUGUAAACUUCAUUUCCGCACUCGAUAUUAGCUUAAUUUUUGUUCUUGUAUUGUUUUGAGCCUAUGGAAUGGCUAUUGAAAUGAAAUUUUGUUAUGGAUAACCUUGGGUUUGAUUGAGUAAAAGGAUGAAGCCAUAAAUGGCUGGAAAAUAGGAAAAUACAAAGGGCAUGCUGCCCAAAUUUUCGCUCGAGGACUAAGUUUCUAUUUAAACUGGUAUACUUACGUUUGGUCUAUGAAACCCUAGUUAUUUUUGUCCACGGGUCCAAAUGUCCUCGUUUCACUUUAAAGUCUUUUUGUACGUUCUACUCAAUAAUUGUCGAGUUUCUUUGAUUGCACCUAAUUGUUGUGCUAGAUGAUCUGUUAUAUUCUUUCUCGUUUAAUUUAAGUUUUCUCGGUGACUGAGGAUAAUAUCCGGAAGGAUAUUUUACCCGUUGUUUUGCGUACAUAGGUGAGUGUUUCUUGUUUGUUAUAUUCUCCAUGACUUCAUGACUUGUUGUUGUUGUUUGAUGAUGUGUUAAGUGUUUUCAAGGAUUUCUAAAAUGAAUUUUCUAGGCGAGCGUGUACUUUAUCGCGCUCGACCUAAAUGAAAUGUGAAAUUUUCAAUGAUUUAACUAUUGAAACAUUAGUUGCGCAUGAUGUAAGCUUUUUGGCUGAAUUGGGCCCUGACCUUCGUUACCGAUCGACUCGAGCCAGAAGUGGAUUCGGUCGGGCGAUAUGGUGACCCUGGGUGAAUUUGGUAUACUCGAGUAUUACCUUGUAGUCCGGCCACCUCCGGAUAGGUGGAGUCCGGUCAACGUCCGGAAGGGGAUGAAUGAACGAACGCAGGCACGAGGGUUUUACUUCUCAAAAAGGAAAUUUUCAAAUAAUUGGAGGAAUAAGGGGAAAUGUCAGGGGAACGAACGAACGAACGAAUAGCUCCAUGUGAGCCCGUAUCCUUUUAAUGAAUGUAUUACUAUCGCUUUCUAUUGUAAAAAUUUUUUGGAUUAUUGAUACUCCAUGUUUAACGUAUUGAAUUGACUAUCUGACUAUGUGUUCGGAACCUCACUGAGCUUUUAGCUCACCUCUUUAGUUUUGUUUUCCUUAACAGGGGAUGGCGAGCAGGAUGAGAGCAUAGACUAGCCUAGUCUAGGUCUUUAAUUUUUUUUUGUAAUGGUUCUCGCCCUAGUGCUUGGCACUGGUUGGACGUAUAAAGGAUUGAGAACUUUUGUAUAUUCGAUCUUUAUACUCCCUUUUGGGAUGGUAAUGUAUAUAAGUUUCGCUUUAAGUUUGGAUCGCUGCCCUAUUUAUUCUUGUGAUUUAUUCUGAUUUUAAUUGAGGACUGUAGUGAACGACUGAGUCCCGGCGAGAGUUGGGCAGACGACCCGCCGAACCCUGGGGUACGCCCUAGGGAGAGGUGGGGCCGUCACAAGUAUGAUGCGAGUGUGUAAUGAGAUAAACUAUGAGUAUAGAUGAACUACAAUGACUGCUUGAAUUGACCACAAAUAGUGAAAAUUGAGUGGUUAGGGUUUCGAGUGAGAAUUGAAAUUUAUAGUGCAGUUGGCAAUUGGAAGAAGUUAUGAGGAGCAAUAAACUCGCAAUAAAAAUGUAAUGGUGUUGGUUAGAGCAAUUUCUUGGAACUUGUUCCGAAGAGAGAUGAAUUUGAAUUUAGAAAGUAAGAGAAUAUGAAGAGUUGCAUCCGAGACAAAGGGUAAAAAUGAACUGAAUAAAGAAGAGGACUUUCUUACAAGAUGCAAUUUUUGAGUGUCGGACGGCCGAACGAAGUAAAGCGUCUGACACAACCGUUUGAACCUGAACUUUCUGGAAAGAUGAUCAAGAACACUGUCAGACGUCAAUUUUAACACAUCGGACGUCCGAUAAAGAGUGAUUAGAGAAUUUUAGAAUAUUUUUUUUGAAACGCCCAAUUUUGUUCUCAAAGACACAAAUUGAUCCAGUGGUAGGGCUUUUGUGAGAAUAUCAGCAAUUUGAUCUUUUGAGCAAACAUAUUGAAUACAAAUUUCACCCUUAUGAACAAGAUCGCGAAUGAAAUGAUGCUUUAUGUCUAUGUGCUUUGUCCUAGAAUGUUGAAUGAAAUUUUUUAUCAAAUUUAUGGCACUAGUAUUAUCAUAAUACAUAGGCAUACAAUCAUACAUUAAUCCACAAUCAUUCAAUGUGUUUUUCGCCCAUAAUAAUUGAGCACAACAAGCUCCGGUGGCAACAUAUUCUGCUUCGAUUGUAGACAAGAAAACAGCAUUUUGCUUCUUACUAAACCAAGAUACCAAACAAUUUUCAAGAAAGUUACAUAUACCCGUUGUAUUUUUUCUAUCUAUCCUACAACCACCAAAAUCAGCAUCCGAGAAUCCACAUAAAGGAAAUUUAUGACACUUAGGAUACCAUAGGCCAAAAUUCAAAGUUCCUUUUAAGUAUCUAAGAAUUUUUUUGUGACAGCCCCAAUUUCCCCUAAGAGGAACCAAAGGGUUCGGCGGACUGCCUGCCCAGCUUUCGCCGGGACUCAGUCGAUCACUUCAAGCAACCAUAAGAACAUCUAACCACAAUCCAACUUAAAACAAAACGUAUAUACAAUAAUAUCUCAAGAAGAAGUACAACCGUCAAAUAUACAGAGGUUCUCAAAUCACUAUACAACUAGCCCGUGCCAAGCACUAGGGUGGGAACCAUGACAAAAGAAAACCAAGGGCUAGACUCAGCUAGUCUAUACCGGCUCUCGUCCUUACUCGCCUUCCCCUGCUAAGGAAAACAAACUAAAGAGGUGAGCUAUAAGCUCAGUGAGGUUCCGAACACAUAGGCAACAAGAAGUUCAAUGCAUUCAUUACAUGUUACCAACAAUUCAAAUACAAAAGAAAGCGAUAAACACCUUCAUUAAAAGGAUACGUGCUCACAAGGAGCCAUUCGUUCAUUCAUUCUCCUUUCGUUCCCUUAUACCUUCAAUCAUUUGAAAAUGCAUUUGUAUAUAAGUAAAACCCUCAUUCAUUCAUUCGUUCAUUCAUUCAUUCAUUCACCAGGCUCCACCAAUCUCCACCAACCUACAAGGUAAUACUCGAGUAUACCAAAACGUUCACCCAGGUCCCUAAUCGCCCGACCGAGUCCGCUUCUGGCUCGGGACGACCGGUAACAAGGGGCAGUGGCCAGUUCAGUCAAAAGGCUUACAUUCAUGCACAAAUCACAUUUCAAUCAUUCAAUCAUUGAAAUUUUUACAAUCAUCUAGGCCGAGUGCGAUAAAGUACACACUUGCCUAGAAGACUCGUUUUAACAAUCAUUGAAAGCAUUUAACAGAUUAUCAAUCAUUCAUACUAGCCAUAUAGUCAUGAAACAUAACAAACAAGGAACACUCACCUAUACACGCAAAAUAACGUCCACUUCUCAAUCACCAAUGAAACCUAAAAGUAAACAAAGAAUACAUUACAAUCCAUCUAGCAUGAUUUGGAUGAAAUCAAGGAUUACCCGACUACUCGGGAGUAAACGUAUAAAAUGACUUUUAAAGUGUCAAUAGAGCAUAUGGAUCCGUGGACGGGAAUUACUAGGGUUCAUAAACCAACCGCGAAACCAAACUCAAAAAGGUUAUGAAAUUUCCGGCAGAAAACACUUUAACCAACGACAAAUCAAAAUCCAAUAAGGUAAGCUAAGAAGUAUUGUUUCCGGAAUCGUUUAUGUAGCUCAAAAUCAAUAGACUCUAUGCCUUGAUGAAAAUCAUGAAAAUAUGGCAAAACUAUCUCACUUUCACUCUUAAAACUUCACUUAAAAGUUAUUCACUUGUGACCGAGAGAACCCUAGGUCACCCUUUAUAUUUUGGUAAACAGUAAGUAAACGUUUGGAAUUGCAACCCAAAGAGGUAUUAGGUUUUAGAAUAGUAAAAUGAUCAUUUUAUUGGCCAAGCGGAAAUAUACAGGUUCAAAUAGAAAUUUAGCCCUCGGCCACCUUUUGAAAGAGCCGGUAACAUUUUCAGUAAAUACGUCCAAUUCAUCACAAAAUACAUUCGCAAAAUUACGUUAACUUGCUCACAUUACAAGAAGAUAAACGGACGGCAUGUCCUUUGUGUUUACCUAUUUUUCAGCCAUUAAUGGCUUCAUUAUUUUCCUCAAAACAGUCCCAACAUCUCAUAUAGAAUAAUCUGAUGUCCAAAAGCCGUUCACUAGGCUUAAAGUCAUAUAAAUACAAAAAUAAAUACAAAAAUCAAGCUAAAAAACAUUUCCGGAUAAAAACAGUUUUUGACACCAUUUUGCGGUUUUGGUACCAUUGGCGCUACGAUUAUCGGAUGAAGGUGCAAGAUAUACCGUUUUGAAGCUAACAGAUAGGGCUACAAUGUUGAAGAAGGCCACUCAGUCCGGUUUGUAGUCCAACUAGGUCAAAAUUGACAUAUAUGAAACCAGAAACUCACAAACAGGUUGGCUAACCGCACAAUUGUUAAACAGCAAUAACUCAGGCUACUGAAGUCCGAUUGAAGUAUAUCUUAUGGUGUUUCGAAGCUAAAACACAACGCUACAUUUAUUAUGAAGACCUACAAGGCCAAAUCAUACAUUUUCAUGAUCAAAAAUGGGAAACUACACCAAAACCAGAAUUCUGGGCACGAAACAGGUUUCAUGAACAGUCAAGGGUAUUUUGGUUAUUUCAUAUGCUACAGUGGUCGGAUCAAGCUAAAAUUUUUCAGGAUACUAGUUUAUACCAUUGGCUACAACUUUCAUGUUUUGGCCAAAAUCUAAUUCGGUACGGAUCAUGGUGAAAAGUCACGGUCAGAUUGGGUGAAAAGACAACCCUGUUCACUGAAUUCCUACCUAGACCAGUCUGGGUAUUUCCGUCUUAUCUCAGGUUACCGAGCUUGGAUUGGGCUGAAAAUUUAUAGGCAACUAGAAAACAUCAUUCCCUAUAACUUUCAUGUUUUGUGCUAAGGCAAAUUCGGCCUCUAACUAGGUGUAACAGUACCAGGCAGAAUUGGGGAAAUGAAACCCUAACUGGAAAUUUUUGCAUUCAAGCCAGAAAUUUUUCCACUAAAACAUCUCUUUAGCUAUCACAAGUCAUUAAUUUAACAUAAUCAAGAACAAAGGAAGGAUGGCUAGACAUGAUACCUUCAAAUAUCAAGAAAGGUGAUGACUUAGGGAUUUUCUUCCAAAACAACUCCAUUAGAAGCUUUAAUCCUCCUUAAUAAGUAACUUUGAUGGAGUAAUCUUCACUUUUAAUGGUUGGAAAUCAAGAUUGGAGCAAGGGAUUGAAGUACAAGAUGAAGGAUUUUCUCUCUUUUCUCUCCUCAAAAUUCAGCCAACAAGGUGAAAAAUGAAGAAACAUUUGGUCAAAAUGGAUGUUUAGUAAAGUUAAGGAAAGUUAGUCAAAGUCCCCAUCCAAUGGUUUCAUGACACUUGUCCCUCUCAUUAAUGUCAUGCCUAGCUUUGUUUUUGUCUUUCUCACACCUGUCCACUUGGUACAUCUAAAUAUCUUAUAACACCCGAUAAAUUAAACCUAGUAUCCAAAACUUAACCUAACUGGCCGAAAUUUUCCGAAUUUUACGCACUAGCGGGUCCCACGUCCGAUAUACGCUCUUAAUUUCUCAAAAACUAACCGAUACUAGAAAAAUCAUUUAAAAACUAUAUUUACUCAUAAAAUUGAUCUAGAAAAAUUUUCUAAUAAAGAAAAUGCAGAAAACGUGAAAUUAAGAAAAGUACGGGUCCUCACACUUUUUACCGCAUUCAAGUGAGAUUCCUUUGGAAAAGACUGAAAACGAGCACACAGUAAACAUGAUAUUAGGUCUACUAGCUAUUAAGUAAAGCAAACUAUCAAUCAUACUGUCGCGACCCAUUUUUGAAAAACGAGUGAUGUGAUCAAAAAUCAGUUUUAUGGUAUUUAAAAUGUGCGUGAAAUAUGUGAAGUGUGUGAAUGUGAGAAAUAAAGGAAAAGGCCAUGAGACUUUGAAAUGCGACGGUUUGGCCAAAAUGAUAAUCUAAAAAGGUUUUUAAACAGAAAAGUAGGAGUCACCACUUGGUAUUGACUUGGGAUGUACCAAGUCACCCACAAAAAAUAGUUUUUGAAAAAAUGAAAUAAAACCUUUUUAAAUGACUCCUAGUCUACAAAAAUUAAAGAGACGAGUUUGGUGGUCACGGUUGAUAAAAGGGAAGGUAAAGACGAAGUCUAAGGCACCCUUUUACCCUAACUUAAGCUAGUUGCGUGGUUUAGUCAUAAUUUUCCUAAUUUCUAAUCAAAAGAUGUAUUGCAUUUAGAUGUGUCUAAUAUGAAUGCAAACCUAAAUCUAAUGGUUGGUUCGAAUGGAACAAAGUGUCUCUUUUGAGGCUUGAUUGGUCCUAAUCACAUGAAUUGUAAUAGCCAUUGGUGAACCCUCAAAGAGGUCACGAAUAAAUGCAAAUGAAUGCGCGAGUAACCAUGAGAAAAAUGAGAGUGUACGAAAAUGUCUUAGUGUAAAAAACGAUUGCCAGGUGUAAAUGUGCAAAGUGCAAGUGUGAAAAUUGGUGUGCAAAAUGCAAGGGUGCAAAUGAGUGUGAGGUAGAGUGUAAGGUGCACGUGUGCAAAUGAGUAUGUAUAAAGUGUAAAUGUUUAGAUGUGAGAGAAGGUAAAGUAAUGUGAUAGUGUGUAAAAUGAUAGAGUGGAUAAAGUGAUAGUGUGCAGAGUGAGAGUGUAUAAGUGAGAGUGUGUGAAGUUAUAGGAGGUAAAGUGGUAGUGUGUAAAUGGUAAUGUGCCUUAGAAAUGCAUGAGCCCUAAAGGAACGCAAGCAAAACAGGUACGGGAAGACUCUAAAUUGUGACUUUUGAUUUGCCUUUUUGGUUAGAAAGGAAACUAGUGUGUUAAGGCUAUGUGUAGCCACACUCGUCCGUUUUCCUUACCAAAAGGGUAACUCCCUAACCUAGGCAAGUAAAUGACCCUAAUAACUAAAAUGAAAUGCAAGGUCCUAAAGAUUGUGGGUCAAAUACGGGAAAAGGGUUAAGGCUCACUAAAAAAAGGAAAAUGAAUGAAAUGUAGUGGAGACAUGCGAGUAUGUACUAGCAAAGGGCGGCCCUAUUGGGUCUAGUAGUGGACUAGCCCUUAACUAACGUUCUCUCAUAAGCAUUGGACUUGUAAGAGCUCGAGGGGAAGACCAUGACUAGCAUUGGACUAGCCAUGAUAACGUACAUUCCAUCCACAUAAUCAGAUAUAAAUACUAAAGCAAAUAGACAUGCAAAGCACAUAGUUUCACAUAGCACGUAGCACAUAAACAUGGUUAUCUAGAUGCAUUCAAGUGCCUUUCAAAUAUAAAAGAUAAAUAAAUGAACUCCUAAUUAUUACAAAUUUAGCAUUCAAGUGUCUUUCAAAUGAUUACAUUAAAAUAAACGCACAAAAUUAAAGCAAAAAUUAAAUAAUUAAAGAGAUAAAUGAAUGAAAAUGAAAUAAAACAUUCAAAAUCAUGCAAUGACACACAUAAGUGCACGUAGGGUCAAAUAAAAUCAAAAUAAGGGAUAGGGUGUACCUCCUUGGAGCUAGCACCCUAAGGAAAUGUAAUUACUCUCUUGUUUACCCUCCAAAACAAUAAAAUGAUCAGGGUACCAAUUUAUUUGAGAAGAACUAAAGAAUAUGCAAACACAAACUCUCUUGGUCAUAAAGACCUUAAAAUUAUGAUUUAAGUGCAUUUUAAACAAAGCAUGGUGGUUAAUUGAAGCAAACAAGCAAUGAAGUUGCAAAAUUAAAGCUGCCAAGGACCAAAUUGUAAAUAUCAGAAAGUUGUUAAGGCCUAAUCAGAAUUAUAUGAAAAUGUAGAGGUCAAAUUGCAAUUUUUCAGAUUUAUUCAUGCAUGCUUUUCGCAGAAAGCAUUUUCUUCACAGAAACUCUUCUUCAUCACUAAUUUCUAUAAUUUUGCAGCAUAUACAACCGAGGCAACUUAGGCCAUCUCAAACCAAAUCCUCAAAUUCAUUAACCCAUUCCAUUAAGCUUCAAAACACAACACAACAGGCAGGAGACAAACCCUUGAAGGUCAUCAAAGAACAAAAAUGGAAGAGCAUGCAAUCAGGACGUUUUCCGCAACAAUACUUCUUAUGAAAUUCAUGCUAGACGCAAACAACAUCCAAUCACACAUCAAACAUUCAAACCAAAACAACAAGACCUUACAACUCUAAUCAUUGAAAUUUAACCAAGAUGCAAGCUACAGAGACCCAUCGAAAGGAUGCAAAAACAAGAACGAAAGCAGCAAAACUUUUGGCAAUUUGGACAAAUAAUUGUCUUCUCCACCGAGCUAACAUUAGUUAUUAUCUCAACUUUCUUUUGGUCAACAAUACCAGGAAUUUGGUUUCAAUUCCAACAAUUCCCAAUAGACAAUGAACUCACAACACUCCCUCUCAUGACAUGAAUUCGGAUUAAACAUAGAGAAACAUAGAGAAAGAAAUUACGACAGAAAAGGUACAAAGAACCAACACAUCAAAGCCUCUCAAAACACUGCUUUUAUUAGAAAAAAUUAGCUAUUAUGUUCGGACAAACAAUAAGCCAACCGAAUGUUCAUUUUCUCACCCGUAAAACAUAGUCAAAAUCAUCUUCACGUGGAAUUCUCAAUUGGCAUUUUAUCAAACACUAAAUGGGCAUGAAAAUUUCAGCUAUUCCCUACUCCAAUAAAGUCACGGCUAACCUCAAAAUUGUCAGUGAAAUUUCAACCCAAUCAACAAAUAAAGCAGUAAUCUUUCAGAAAAACAUAGCCAGUCCACCAAAAAUUACGAUAAAAAGAAGAAUAGAGAGCUUCAAGCGUCCAUGCUUAAAAAACUGAAAUUUGAGGGAGGGAGACAGCUCACAAAGCUCUGCAGGUGGUGAUUGGCAGCGAUGAUAGUUGAUUCCGGUGGGAUGGUGGCGGCUCCGGUUCUUGGGCAGGCAGUUGGCCACUCGUUGUUCACGCUGGAGAAGAAGGGUUGUGGCUACCUGGUGGCUGCGAUGGAGAUUGCGCGCGGUGGUGGCGAUGGCGGACAGCAGCAGCAGCGGAUGCGGACUGGAGGUGGCUUGGGCAGAUAGCGUGAGGAAGAGAGGAGAUCUAGGGUGGGCGGCAGUGUGUGAAAGAAGGAAAGGGAGAAAACAGGGGCAGCCUCUUCUUCUCGUUUUUUCCUUUCCUAGAAAAUUUCCUCCUGCCCGAGCUUUUUCUUCCUCCUUGCUAACCCCUUGUCCGCCGUCCCUUUCACCCUUUUGCCUUGUCAUCUUUUCCUCUCUCGCCUAAGCCUCGCUCUCAAAGCUCUUACUUUCUCCCUCUUUUUUUUCAGCUCUUCAACUCUCUAGCCUUUUCUUGUUCUUUCUCUCUCCGUUUCUCCAACCUCAGCCGCCAACUCCUCUUCUAAACCUCUCUCAGCCGUCCCCUUCCCUUUUUUUUCCUUUCCUCCUCUAGCCACUGUCCCUUUUCUUUCCUUUUUUGCCUGGCCUUUUUUUCUUCCCCCGUGGUUGUUUUUUUUUUCUUUUUUCCAACCGGCCCAUCCAAUCUUUUUCUUUUUGAUUCUCUGAUUUUUGUUCCCCCAAAAUUCCUUAAGCCACCAAGUGUCUAGACACCUAAUCCCUUAGGUGUUGUGUUGUCCAAAACACAAAGGGACACUUGUCCCCAUUGCAUGCCCCCCACUUGUCAUUUUUACUUCUUUCUUUUUUUUCUUUUUCUUCUCUUUUUUUCUUUUUUUCUUUUUCUGAAAUAAGCAAAAAUUAAAACAAAAAUCAACUAUAUAUAUAUAACCAAAAUUUUGGUGUCUACAUAUACUUCUAUACUUCUUUUCAACAACUUUUAUACCUUCUUCACCCUUGUCAAACGUGGUAGAUGUGCGCAUAGGUGUUCCAACUUGUUUUGAGUCUUCCAUUCCAAACAUUUUGAGUAGCUCCUUGAUAUAUUUUGCUUGAUUAAUGAACGUUCCUUCUCGGGUUUGAACCAUUUGGAGUCCAAGAAAGAAAUUUAAUUCUUCCAUCAUGCUCAUUUCAAACUCCUUUUGCAUAAUUGUGAAAAAAAUCCUUGCACAGGCUCUCAUUAGUAGCACCAAAUAUAAUAUCAUCUACAUAUAUUUGCACAAUUAAAAGAUCAUGUGAAUUUUAUUUAGUGAAAAGAGUAGUAUCUACAAUGCCUCUUUUAAAACCAUUUUCAAUAAAAAAAUCACUUAAACGUUCAUACCAUACCCUUGGAGCUUGUUUUAAUCUAUAUAAAGCUUUUGAGAGUUUAAACAUAUGAUUGGGAUAAACCUCAUUUUCAAAACCAGGAGGUUGAUCAACAUAUAUUUCUUGAUCAAUAAAGCCAUUUAAGAAAGCACUUUUAACAUCCAUUUGAAAUAAUUUAAAAUUCUUGAAACAUGCAAAGGCCAAAAACAUCUUAAUUGAUUCUCGCCUAACUACGGGUGCAAAUAUUUUAUCAAAAUCUAUUCCUUCUUCUUAAGCAUAUCCCUUAACUACAAGUCUAGCCUUAUUCCUUACUACCUCACCUUUAUCAUUUAAUUUAUUUUUAAAGACCCACUUUGUGCCAAUGAUAGGAUGAUCUUGAGGUUUUUCAACUAAGGUCCAAAUCUUGUUUCUUUUAAAUUGAUUUAGUUCCUCUUCCAUAGCUAAAAUCCAAUUUUCAUCUUUCAAGGCAUCAACAAUAUUUUUGGAUUCAAAAUGAGAGACUAAUACAAAAUUAUCCAUCAAUUGUUUAGAGGAGGAACGAGUUCUGACCUUCUCGGAUGGAUUACCAAUGAUGAGCUCCUUAGGAUGGUUUUGAACAAAUUUUCAAGCUCUUGGAAGAUCGUUAGGUGUACUAACAUUUUUGUCAUUGUCUUUCAGUGCUGGACUGUCUUGAGAAUCAUUUUUCUUUGAGUCAUUUUCUGGUGAAGCAAUGUCUUGGUCAUUGAUUGUGAACUUCUUUAGUCCUUCUUAAACACCUGCAUCAUCAUUUUCACCACAAUUUUUUAAAAUAAUACCAUUAGAUUCAUCAAAAGUAAUAUGUAUACCUUUCUCUAUAACCGGAGUCAUUCGAUUGUAGACUCUAAAACCUCUCUUAUUCUCACAAUACCCCAAGAAAAUUUCUUCAUCAGAUUUUUUAUCAAACUUACCAAGAUGUUCCUUGAUAUUUAAAAUAAAACAUUUGCAACCAAAAACUUUGAAGUAUCCAACAACAGGCUUUUUAUCAAACAUCAACUCAUAAAAGGUUUUGUUCAAGAUUGGUCUUAAAAGAAUUCUAUUCAUAGUAUAGCAAGCUGUAUUUAUGGUUUCAGCUCAAAAAUAUUUUGGCAAAUUGUAUUCACUUAACAUGGUUCUAGUAGUCUCUUGAAGGGUUCUAUUCUUUCUUUCAACAACCCCAUUUUGUUGGGGAACUCUUGCAAUUGAAAAUUCAUGUGUAAUUCUAUUGUUAUCACAAAAUUCUGGAAAUCCACAAAAACGAAAUUCUGAGCCAUUGUCACUUAUGAUCUUGAUGAUUUUCAACCCAAUCAGAUUUUGAACCUUUGCAAACAAUGAAACAAAGUUUUUGAAAGUAUCAUCUUUGUGUGUAAGAAACAUCACCCAAGUGUAUCUAGAACAAUCAUCAACAACAACAAGGCAAUAUCUUUUGCCACCCAAACUGGUAGUUUGCGUAGGACCAAAUAAAUCAAGAUGCAAAAAUUCCAAAGAUUUUGUGGUAGAAACACAUUUCUUGAGUUUAAAAGAAACUUUGACUUGUUUUCCAAAUUGACAAGCAUCACAGAUUUUAUCCUUUCCAAAUUUGAUUUUUGGCAACCCCUUAACAAGUUCCAUUUUGGAAAUCUCUUUUAGCAAAUCCAUGUUGAAAUGACAAAACCUUCUAUGCCACAACCAAGGGUUUUCAUUUGUAACUUUAAGACAUUUAAGACUAGAAGACUCAACAUUUUUCAGAAUAGCAACAUAAAUGUCAUUAGCUCUUUUUCCUUUGAAAAUAGUGUUGAAGUUUGAGUCAAGAACAAGAUAUUCAUACUUUUUAAAUAAUAUAAACAGAUUUUUAUCACACAAUUGACUAACACUUAAUAAGUUAUAGCACAAAUUGUCAACUAAAAGAACAUUGUGAACAAAGGUUUGACCAUUUUUACUAACAUCACCAAUUCCAACAGUUUUGGCUUUGUUAUCGUCUCCAAAAGUUACUUUUUCGCUUGCUUUUGGCUUGAGCUUGAUGAAUUGUGAUGGAUCACCAGUCAGAUGCCUUAAGCAUCCACUAUUUAUGAACUAUUUUGAUUCUUUGAUAAUGUUCACCAAGUUCACCUCUUCAUCACCAAUGACCAUGAAAGUCAUUUGGACAGAUUCCUCUUCUUCUUCGACUUCACCUUUUGAGUUGCUGUCAUUCCAAGUGAUCUGAAAGUUGUUAAAUUUUGAUUUUCGUUCAGUUUUUUCUUAUUUUUUUUCUUUAUUGGACACUCGCUCGCAUAGUGUCCAGGUUGACCGCACUCGAAGCAUUUGUUAGUUUGCAUUUUAUUGAACUCUUGCUUCCCUUUGUUUCUUGAGCUAUUGAACUGAUCUGAGAAUGAAUUACUAGGUUCUCCUUUUCUGAAUCUCCUCUUGUUGAGAAUUCUCUUGAAGUUUCUUGUGAUGAGUGUAAUAUUACUAUCAUCAGCUUCCAGAUCAUCUCCAUCCAAGGAGGUUGAGUCAUCUUCAUCUUGUGAGGCUUUUAAAGCAAUACUCUUCCUAACCUUUGCAUCUUCUUCCUCCUGCACCUUGGACUUGAGUUUCACCUCAUAAGAAAUUAGAGAAUUAAUAAGAGAUUCAAUAGGCAUGGAAUUGAGAUCUCUAGUUUCUUCAAUGGCAGUCACUUUGCUCUCCUAAACCUUGGAUAAAGUGUUUAGAAUUUUCCUGUUUUUCUUGCCUAGAGAAUAUUCCUUUUCCAGCACUUCUAAGUCUUUAAUAAGAUCAUUGAAUCUACAAUAUAUCUUAUCAAUAUUUUCAUAAGGUUCCAUCUUAAAAGAUUCAUACUUAGUGACCAAAAUAGACUUUUUUUGUUCUCUCACAUUCUCACUGCCUUCAUGGAUUUCUUUAAAUUUAUCCCAAAUCUCUUUUGCAGAUCUACAGCCUUUGACUCUAAUAGAUUCAUUUGAAUCUAGAGCACUGUAUAACACAUUCAUAGUCUUGGCAUUCAAAGUGAGGUGGGUUCUAUCAUCACCAGUCAACUUAUUUCUAGUUUUUGGUCUUGGUUUAUGAGUGACUUCAUCAACAAUAGAGGUACCAUAUGGACCUUUAUUGACAAUAAACCACAACUCGAUAUCAAUAGAUUGUAAAAAGAUUAUCAUCCUUUCCUUCCAACUCACAUAAUUUGAUCCAUUAAACAUUGGGGGUCUAGUGACGGAUUGUCCUUCAAAAAAUAUGGCAUUGUUGGUUGUCAUUUUUACUCCAAAGCCGAUUGAAUUUAAUCUCUAGGAGACCAAGCUCUGAUACCAAUUGUAAGGAUCGAAAACAACCUAAGAGGGGGGUGAAUUAGGUAGUAUAAAAACUGGCUAAGUUGUGAGUCACUUUUUAAGAAUUUGACCUUUUUUUCUAAAAGAUCACAUAAUGGAGUAAUUGAUAAGAAAGUACAAGUGCUUGUGAGUAGAAGAGAUGAGCAAUUUAUAUAUCAAGACAGUAAGUAAAAGAGAUAGAGAAUCGAACCAAAUACCAAACUCCUCUUGAGUUUGAAUAUCACUUUAUAGAGCAAGCUUUUUCAAGUUGAUCAACUUACAACUAAUUUCUUGUGUACAAGGGAAGGAUCACUUCCUCCUUGCCCCCAAGCCACACUUGAUCAAGUAAAGAAGUUUUACUAUCACUCGGAUAACCCUCAUAAAACUACACUAUUGAAGUAAUUGAAUCACACUAGAAAAACUUAUCGAAAAUUACACAACUAAGAGUACAAAUCCUCUUUGAAGAGUAUUUUACCACUAAAAUCACUCUUGACUGAUGUAGUCUCAAUGUGUAAAGUUAUUUUGAAGUUGUUGACUUUGUUCUAUUUAUAUGGGACCAAACAGUUUCUCAAUUAAUGCUUUCAACGGAUAGAAGGUAGUUGAAGAGUCAACUAGCCGUUGGUAGUGUCAGACGUUCGGUAGACCAACUUCUUGCAUUCGAACGUAGGCAGUGAGCUCAAGAAAUUUUCUUGAAUUAUUUUGGACAUCCGGUACCUUCAAUCUAUGCGUCUGAAGGUAGGAGGUGAAACUGUGAAUUCUUCUUUAAUUCUUUUCGAGCAUCCAAUGCCUCCAAGGUUUUGCAUCCGAAGUUUCACGACACUUGUCGAACGUCCGAUGCUCUGAUGAUGUGCGUCCGAUCAAGGUCAGUGAGUUUAGAGGGAAUGACUCAAUAUCUUCAGACGUCCGAGGGUGAAGUUCUUCAUGCGUCCGAAGUUACGCAAAGGUUGUCAGACGUCCGAUCCAGUUUUCUUGUGCGUCCGACAGCAGCUUUAGUAUUCUUUGUGUUUAAUUUUUGAACCUGUUUUGCUCCAUUUCUGAAAGGGUCUAUUGAGAGAACAUUAGUAACAUCCAUUUAUUUUGUAAUUAUCAAAACCUACGGACUGAGAUAAACAUAAAAUUGAUUGCUGUUUUGAGAAAAAAAGGAUGCUUACUAAUGAGGGUAAAAUAAUUUCUUACUUGCAGGGCUGCUAUAAAAGAGACUAAUAAGUGGCCUUCCCAAGAUUCCAACUUCUUUCUCUGAGACAAGCACCAUGACCGCCUUACCUUAAUCUUGCAGCAAUUGAAUAAUUGCUUUGGUUUUGGAUCUCCUAGCAACUGCUUAAUUGCCAACCACAAAAUAAGUUUAUUUUCUAUUUCUACAUCAAUAGACUAAGUGUUAUAUGUUGAGUAAGUUCCAGAUUUUGUGUAAUAUGUAAAAAAUAUUCACUAGACAGUCAACAAACAAAAAAAUCAAAUUUCCCCUCUUAAUAGGUCUAACGCUCCCACGCAUUGCGUGGGAAGCAAUUCCAUAGUAUAUACACAUAUACAUAUACAAAUAUACAUAUAUACACAUAUACACAUAUAUACAUACAUACAUAUAUACAGAUAUACAUAUGUACAUACACACACACACACAUAUAUACAUAUAUAUAUGUGGAAAAAUGACCAGUUCCAUUCCUCAUAUUUCACAAAAAUAUUCUUUCAUUCCUCACUUUUAAAAUAAAGUGAGUUUGCCCUUGGCAUUUAAAAAUUAAAACUAUUACAUCUUUGAACUCAACUUUCAAUCUGAAUCUAACCACCCAACAACCCGAUUACAAACUUUAGGGGUAUAAUUAGUAAAUCACUUAAUUAACUCAACUUGAUAUUCACAUGAAACUUAAUGAACAUAAAAAGGAGAAAUAAAAUAUUAUUACACAAAAAGAAGGAUUAAUCUUUUAUAUAUUGUCAUUGUAUAUAUUGAUGGGUCUAGAUAACUAUUACAUCAUUUCAAUUUAAAUUUAAAUACCGAACUUGUAUGUAUGAUAUACAUCUAGAUUCACAAGUGUAUGCACUAACGGUUUAUGAAAAGAUUUACCCAAAAAAGAAAUCCUACUAUUUCAAGACAAAGGAACGACCUUUUUAUGUUAUAAUUUUUUUGAUUUUUGCUUUCUUUGUUCAAUGAAUGUCAUGUGAAUGUGAUGAAAUUGUCCAUGUGAUUCAUCAAUUUUAUCCCCAAAAUGUGUUACCAAAUUAUUGGAUAGCUUGAUUCAAAUUUUAUGUUAUAAUUUUUUUGAUUUUUUCUUUCUUUGUUCAAUAAAUGUCAUGUAAAUGUGAUGAAAUUGUCCAAGUGAUCCAUCAAUUUUAUCCCCAAAAUGUGUUACCAAAUUAUUGGAUAGCUUGAUUCAUAUUGAAAGUUGGGUUCAGGGAUGUAACAGUUUCAAUUUUUAAAUGUUAGGGAUGAAUUUGCUUCAUUUUAAAAGUGAGGGAUGAAAAAUAUAUUAUUGUAAAACAUAAGGGAUGAAACAAGCCAUUAUAUAUAUAUUGCAGAAAAGGUUUUUAGCACAGUUAAAUCAAAUUGCUUCCAACUCAUGCUUUCAUUUUAUAGAAUUUUGAUUUUUUUUAUUGUUAUAUAUAUCCUUUUAGGAUCCGGUAACAACUGUUCUGAAUAGUGUAAUAUUUUUUGAAUGGAGUUUUACUUUACGUGAACUAUUUGUAAAAUUUCACAACAGAGACACAAUUAUUAUGUAUAGGAUCCAUAUAAACAGUAAUAGAAUAUCACAUCUCUAUUGUAAGGAUGUACAAAUAGUUCAUUUACAGUUACAAAACGUUCAAAAAAAUGUUACACCGUCUAGGGAUGGUUGUUGGAUCUAUCGUCUUUGCCUGGCACACCAUCCUUUCAUGUCUUUUGGAUUCAAAAAAUAAGAAUUGGCUCCACUUAUAUAGGAAUUUGAUUUAAAACCCAUUAAUGUUAGGGUAAUUAAAUAGGAAAGAUCACCAAACUAAAAGUAAAAAAAAAUGAGCCACUUAUAUAGGAAUUUGGUUUGAAGUUUAUUAAUGUGAGAGCAAAUAAAGAGGAAACAUCACCAAACCUACUAAAAGUUAAAAAGUAAAUAAUAUAUUUUAUCCUUCAAUUUAGUAAUUCUAACUAAAAGGGCAAAUUAUAUAGAAAACAAUAAGGAAAUAAUAUUCAUUGUCAUGGAUUUAAAAAAUUAAGAAUGGUUCCAUUCAUGAAGUCUAAAUUAUGAAAUCACUAAAUAAAAACAAAGUACUACUAGCCUCUCAACAUCAAAUUUUUUUUUUGAAAUCUUUAGUGUUUGAUGAAAAAAAAUAUUUCAACACCAAUUAUAUCAACAAUUAAAAAACAAUAUAGUUUAAGGAAAAGAUAUAGAACAUUUGACCCUAAAAUUUGUCUACUUAAUUUGCAUAUAUCUUAUCCAAAUUUGACCCUAAUUAAAUUUGAAUAAGAGUACAAAACCAAAACGCUAAGAAUAGCCCUAGGUAUUUUGAUUAUUUUAUGUAUUCUUAUUUUUUCAUCAUAUGUAAAUAUGUAAUUGCUAUGUCAUACAUACAUACAUACAGAUAUAUAUAUAUAUUAUAGUAGUUAGGGGUAUUAUAAGAUAUUAUUAGUUUAUUGUUUGCAAUUUUAGAUACCAAUACUUGCAACCAUUACGAUCAAUUUUCAAUUUUACAUGGAUUUCUUAUUAUGAGAGGUAAAGCUAAAUAUGUUGUAAAAAUGUUAAACCAAAUUGUAGGUUAUGGUUUUCUCUUGCUUCAAAUUUCAUCAUUUCAAUUUUAUUUUGAAAGUACAAAUAUAAGUAUAUUUGAAGUGUAAAACGAAAUUGCAAGUUAUGUAAAUUUUUUCUUUUGCUUUAGAUUUUAACUCUUCAAUUUGGAGGUUGAAUAUGGAUUCAACUACAAAAUUUCACCUUUCAAAAUUGAAAUCAUUCAAUCCAAAUUUAAUAUGAAAAUAACUAAAUUUGGUGUUGUUAUACUUUUGUAUUGAGUUUUAAUUUUUAUAUUUUACUCACAAAAUUUACUUUAAAAUUGUGUAACAUUGACAAUAUGUUAAGUUAUACUUUGAUUAAAAAUGGAGAAAUUAUGACUCUCAUACCAAUAGAUAUGAGAAAUGUGGAUUGUAAUUACUACUAUUUAAAAAAGAAUACCUUGAAACACACAUCAUAUUAUAUACACAUGUAUAUGUGUAAUUCUCAUAAGUAUAUACGAGAAAACUAUAGAUUUUUGAUAGCACACUAUGUCUCAAAUAAAAAAAACUAUGAUAUUACUUUAUUCUGGUUAGCCUAGUAGAAGAAAAAGGGGAAAGUAGAUGGAAGGAAAAUGAAGCACGUUGGGUAUGGAGGACAAAGAUUAGUGGCUAUCCAAUGGUUUGGAAGAAUGGUGGGUGGCGAAAGGGAUAGGAAAUUGGGCAACAGGGAUUGGAAGUUAGAGACUAGCUAGAGGCGGAGGAAAGGGAAUAGUGAGGAGUUAAAUAGUGGUGGGAAAAGUAAAAGAAAAAAGGUGAACUACAAGGUUGGGUGGAGAGAGGGGGAAGAAAGAAAGUAAUUGUGGGAAUAUUACAGAAGUGGUAAAAAAUGAUAGGAAAGAUGGCACAUGGUAGUAGAAGCGAAGGUCAAAGGAGAUAGUGGAUGGCCAACUGGCACGUAAGAGGGGAUGGAAAUAAUGAUAUGAUAGUUUUUAAUAAUUAUAAAAACUCAAACAAUACAUCUUAAAAGAGUUUUUUAAUCUAUAUUUAAGUUUAUGAAGAACACUAUUCUAUAAGUACUUAAUAAUUUUAGUGUUACAAGAUGGGAGAAAACAUUCUUUCUAAAAUCAAGGAAAAUGAAUUAGUUAUAAUUUAUGUUUUUUAUAUUAUAAAUUUUGAUAUAUGGGUAUAACCUGAUAUCUUUUGUCAACUAUUGAUAAAUAGGUUUACAAUUGCUCUAUCGUGUAAAUCAUUAUAAAAUAAAUUAUUUUAUUCAAAUUGUUAUCAUAUAUUGACAAACAAUAGGUAAAUAAAUUUUGGUUUCAACUUAUUUAAGAUAUUAAAAUUAAGAAAGUCCAUUUUGUACUCACGAAGUAACUUUUUUUUGAACAUGUUAAGCAUAAAUUUCUUUGAAAUUUUGAGCCUUUUUCAUAUACUUUAUCCUAUAUUACAAUAUACAAGUGUGUGUCUAUAUACACACACACAUAAGAAUCUAGUGAAUGCAAGUGUACACUUUAGUGAUCUGAAUAUACACAUUUGAAUUUAUGUAUGUGCACACAUAUACACUCAGAUUAUGAGUGUUUUUUUUUUAUAGAAAUAAUAUGUUUUAUUACCACAACACAAACUUACAAUCGGAGCAUAGAACCAGUCAUAAUGACAGUCCUUUAACAUAUCUAAGAGAAGGGAAACCUAACUUAUCCAUCAUGACUUCCCCUCCAGCUAGCUGUGGAAAGGUGUCUGACUGGUCAUAGACCUUAACAGGGUCAUGCGGGUGCAAAAUACCUACAUUAGCUAGUAUACCUACAUUGCUGUAUCAUCAGCAAUCAACCAUAUUUGGGUUACUUCUCUACGAAUGUGCCAAGGACACUGGAACGGCUGUUGUAAGAUGCCUACUAAAACCAACGAGUCAGAUGUACUCGAACCUGUGUGUACCCUUUAUGAAGGCAAAGGCGGAGACCCGUUAGAAGAGCCAAUGCCUCAGCAAGCAGACUAGUAUUGACCCCCAAGUAAGCUGAGUACCCCCCAAUACCUGACCAUUUGAAUCCCGGAGUACUCCACCCCCACCACUAGCACCUGGAUUGCCCUUGGAACACCCGUAUGUAUUAAGUAACACUAACCCCCUACCUGCUGCCUGCCAUCGGACUAGUCUGCACUACUGUAAGGGCUUGUGUUGGGAAAUUGAGUCAAAAACUGACUAAAAGUCAAUGCCACCGUCAACUUUUGGAACUUACUCGUGACCACCUCGGAGACGUCCCGAAGGAUGGCAUGACAGAUCUCCCCACACGAUAGUUGGAGCCCUUCCCAUACUGCUGUACUCCUCGCCUUCUAGAUGUGCCAACAUAUAAAGUUUGGGAGAAUAGAAACCACAAGUCGUCUCUGCGCAUCAGACUGUGAGGAAAUCCAUUAAGCAACCAAUCUAUCGCGCAGUGGAACUUGAGGCAUAAAUAUUCCAUAAGUGGCUCCAAAGGAAUCCUAGAUCGCCAUUGCUAGCUGUCCCGUUGCAAAAGGUGCUCAAUAGAUUCCCCUUUAGACAUAAGGCAACAAAAGCAUUUUGACAGACUUUGGACACCAAACUUACCCAGGAUGUCAUCCAGCAGUAGCCUUCUCAGCAGAAGUCGUAACAUAAAGAAUGACACUUUCAAUGGGAUCUGGGGAUGCCAAAUGCAAGAAAAGAGCCAAGAGGCAUUCUAAGCUUGCCUUACCUCCUGGAAGGCGGAAGAUAAGGAGAAAUGCCCAGAAGUCAUUGGCAUCCAGACAACCUCGUCUGGCCGCUUACCCUCAGGGGUUGGAUGCCAUAAGAUCAAAGCCGUGACGUCACUUGGGAAAUAUUGGGCUAGUAACAGUGAAUCCCACCUCUUGUCUCUAAGAAAAUCCCUAAAUGUCAACGCCCCGUUGAUCGGAGCUCUAUGAAAAAGAGCUCUAGUACCCAACCAAUUGUCAUACCAGAAGUCGCAAGUUCCCGCAUAUACCAACCACUGCAUGGAUAAUUCCGCUUGUCGGCUCACAUUGACCAGCCGUUUCCAUGUAGGCGAUGACCCUACACUAUACUCCACUUAGCAGGGAUGACAGUGUCGACAGUACUUUGCUCGUAAAAAUGUGGCCCAGAGUUAAGAUCCCGUGCGAAACUUCCAUCAUAACUUGGAAGAGAAGGUAGUAUACACAUCCCAUAGCAAUCUGAAACCCACUCCCCCCUCAUUUUUCGAAAAGCACAACUGAUCCCAUCGGAUCCAAUGAUACCUGGUGCCCAUCUCAUUCAACCCCCACAAGAAAUUCGAGCAAACCUUUUCGAUGACGUUGAACACUGAGGCCGGGAUUACCGAAGCCGAUAGUAAAUGCAAAAGAAUAGCUGAUAGCACAUGUUUGAUGAGCACGAUCUUGUCCCCCUGAGACAGAAACUUGGUUUUCCCACGACAUGAUUCGCCCAAGUAUAGUUUGACUCACCUCUCCAUAAUAAGCGGCCUUGCUCUUGCCAAAAUGCAGUGGAAACCCUAGGUAACAAAAUAGCGCAUGCUAUCUUGGGAAGCCAGUGAUAUGCUCAAUUACCCUCUGUCGGGCCAUCGAGACAGAGGGGUGGACCACAUAACUACUCUUGUGCCCAUUCACCAGCUGGCCCGACGAUUUUUGGUACAAGUCCAGCACCCGAACGAUAUUGUGUAAGUCAAGAGCCGAACCAUUAGCAAUUAUUAGCACGUCAUCAGCGAAGGUCAGAUGCAUUACUGGAGGGCACUCCAGAGGAACUUUGAACCCCUGAAAGCCUGCCUGAAGAACUAGGUCGUUUAAAGUCCUGGAAAGGACCUCUGUCCCAAUCACAAAUAAUGCGGGCGACAAUGGAUCCCCCUGAUGAAGUCCCCUACUGGACUUAAAGUACCCAUAGGAAGCUCCAUUGAUGACAACUAGAAAACCAUACAUUGGAGAUCAGUUGCCAAACAUUGUCAAUAACUCUUUCCUCAAACCCGAAGUGCCGCAUAACGUUCACAAGGAAUAUCCACGACACCCUAUCAUACGCCUUGGUCAUAUCCAACAUCAAAGCUACAUUCCUACCCCUCGAAGACCUGCGCAUCCUCGAGAAUAAUUCUUGAGCGAGAAGGUAGUUCUCUGUGAUGUUUCUGCCCUUAACAAAACCAAUUUGCUGGAGCGACACCAGGCUCGGCAAGAGAGGGGCCAUUCUAUCUGCCAAUAACUUGGACAAUACUUUGUUGAAGAAAUUGCACAGGCUAAUCGGUUUGAAUUUCGAGAAAUCUGAGGGUUCGGUCCUUUCAGGAGUAAGAUAAUGGAGGUAGACGUAAUGAAGCAAGGUAGCUCAGCCCAACAGAAGAAACUCAAAAUUGCAUUAUAAACAUCCUGACCAAUCACCUCCCAAGCAAAAGUAAAAAACCUCCCCAUGAAGCCAUCCGGGCCAGCUGCACUUUCACCGUCCAUUGCAAAAAUGAUCUUACGCACCUCCUUGAUAGAUGGGUCAGCCUCCAAACGACUAUUCUCCUCUGUCGGGACAAUGGAUGGGAUCACAUGCAACAGGUCUAUCGCUGCCAGCAGGCUCAGAGAAUAGCUCCAAAAAAUAACGUACAGCUUCGUUUGAGAUGUCCUCGUCCGUUUCCACCCAAUCACCAUGCGCAUCUCUAAUCCUACAGAUUACUCCUUGCACCCGCCUCUGCUUCAGGAUAGCAUGAAAGAACUUGGAAUUGAAAUCACCGUGACGUAUCUAUUUCACCCUAGCCUUCUGCAUCCAGAAUUGCUCUUCCAUUGACAAAGCAUGAUUGAGCUGAACCUGAGCCAUAUUAAGCUCCACCUGCGCAACAUCACCCUCGUUCUCCAACCUUGCCUUCGCCCGAUGCACUGCAAUUUCUACCUCAUGCGAAGCAUCAAAUAUGUUCCCAAACGUAUGCUUAUUCCACUCUUGGAUGGCUCGUCGCAUGUAACAGUUUGGAGCACAAAACCUUCAUGGGGGAACCCUAUUGCUCCCACUGCCAAGCUGUGUGAAUGACAUCCAGUAGGGAGGCCUUGGAUGUCCAAAUAUUAAGAAAAUGGAAGGCAUGCAGCUUGUUAUCUGUACGGGAGGCAAAGGAGAUUUUUAGCGGUGCAUGAUCGAAAAGAUGCCUUGCUAAGUGAGAUAUAGAAAUGGUUCAUGGUAAAUCUGAGCACUCCACAUUAACUAGUAGUCUGUCCAAUCUCUUCCAGAUCCUAGCCCUAUUGUGGCGAUUGUUGCACCACGUGAAGUUAGGGCCAGAAAAUCGCAUGUCAAAUAUCUCAGCAUUCUCCAUAAAGGACAUAAGCUCUAAUCCCUCCAAGUUGCCAAAAGGAUGGCCACCUUUUUUUACCUGGGGAGAUAUAACCACAUUGAAAUCCCGGCAGAUACACCAUGGUUGGGAGCAGGGCUUCUCAAGCAAUAAGGCUUGCCACAGCUCCCAUCGCUCUUCCAAUGUGCAUUUGGCGUGCACAAAAGAGAAGCGCAAGGCAUGUGGUAACCACGGGUGGUGCAACAAGAGUGAGAUGUGUUGGGAAGAGUUCCCAGCAAUAGAACAAAUAAACGAUAAUCUAGAAAACACCCAAAUGUCUUCCGACAAGUUUACCAUUACAGCAUCAAAAGAUAAUCUUAAACGAAUGGAUUCUAUGUUAACAACAUCUAGUUUUGGUUCACAAAUAGCCACCAACUGAAUAUUAUGUAAACGAAUUAAUUUUUUAAGUCUUCUAAAAUUAGGAGGUUUAGAGAUUCCUUUAAUGUUCCAAAAGAUUGCAUUAAUCAUGGGGAAGAACCUGGAACGAGUUUUUGGAUGAUGUUGACGCUGACCGUAGCUGCCUGUCCGAAGGAAAGAUCGCCCGUGUACCCUUCAACUUCACUUGUUUGAAGCCUUUCUCUAAUGCAAAGGACUGAUCAACAUUAAGAUGCAUCAAGGGGGCUGCACGCCGUUCACCAUGACGUCUUGGGUCUCAGAGACAGAUUACCCGCUGCUACUGAUCGCGCUACUUCAUUCUCACAGCUCUCCUCUUCCGCACCGUCUUCUCCUCCCCUUCCAUGGUCAGCCAUGCUACCCUCCCGUAGACACAAGAUUUGGCACAUAGGUUGAUCCAUUGCAUGCCCAUCCUUCCCCAACAAAACAAGAAUCCUAGACCACGAUUGUGCCAUGGCUGGGCUAAAAAUCUCCUCUUCAACCAACGCUUCCUCCAUGCAUUGCCCCCUGCCGCCCCAUCAGAGUUCUCCUGUGCUGGGCGGUCUCCUCCAUCACCAUCCGAGUUACUUGCUGGGGCUGCUAUUGCCGCCGCUGGAUUGGUAUUUUCUGAAGCCCCAAGGAGCACCAAAACGCCAUCCUGCGUUCGGUUUCCUUCCUCAUCCGCAGCAGACCCAACACAAGGCUGUUCACGUUGCUUAUCUCGUCGACCAUGUUUACCCUUACUCAGAAACCUAACCACCUCAGUAUACCCAGCUUUCUUGCACUCCCCUGCCAAAUUGUCCAACCUCCAGCAAUUGUUGCAAUAGUUGGGUAGGUUUUCAAUCACAAUUUUCUGCCAAAACCCUACCUCUUCUUCAACAGCCACCCACACCCUUGAACAAAUAUGUUUGAGCAAGUCCACCUCCACGCAAACUCUAGCCACACCAGGUCUUGUUCCUGUUAUUGUUGCCGAGUCCAGAUAGAGAGGCUUUCCCACUGGAGAAAGAAUUUAAAACAGUGAAUGCUUAUCAUGGUAAUGGAUAGGGAGAGCCGAUAAUGAGGUCCAAACAGGAACCAGAGGCGACUCUUUCUGCACAUGAAAGUCCCUUGUCCUCCAAAAGACUCGCAUGGGACACUUCCCCAGUUGCCAAAGCCCUCGCGUCCAGAUGCGGUUGAAAUCAGCUUCGGCUGCGCACUUAAGGAGAACAUGGCGGUAGUCCAUGAGGCCAACCGAAACCUGAUCUCUUAAGUCCAGGGAUGAAAAGAAUUUCCUAAUCUCUUCUAAGCUUGGCCACCCAUGGGAAAACUUGCCCACCAGUGCCUAGCGGAAUGGCGCCGCAAGCUUGUCAACCUCCUCCUUUGAAAAUACCACAGCCGCCUCCCCUUUGUAGGUGGUUGACUGCUUCACCUGGAUUGGGGAGUCGGCAGGCUGGGAGAAUAAUGGGCGAAGGAUUUAGCCGCAUAAGGGGGACCUGUCAUGCACAUCAGCCAAAGGCUGAUGGGCCACCAUGGCCGUGGGAAUGCCGCCGGCCGUCCAAGAAUAGGAUGCAAACCAAAGCUAUUUUUAGAAACCCUACCAAUGCAACUCACGGAAAUUUUUUUUUUUCAGAUUAUGAGUGUUUAUUUACAUACAUACAAUUGAUCAUACGUGCACAUAAGGCUACAUUUCUUACAAUAUUGACUUGCUCAGAAUUUAUUUCCUAUAGCUUUUAAGUUAUAAAUCGUUUUCACUGCAUGCCAUUCAAAAAUUUUAAAAAUAUUACACCAUUUUAAAAAAUUUUGAAUUUUAGAAAGAAAGAGAUUAGAUAAAAACCCCAAAUCCGUGUAUUAGUUUAGGAUAUUUAAAACUAUGCACCAUUACAUCAUUUCUUGUGUCAAUGAAUUUAGUAUUGUGCAACCAAACUAUUGAAUUGAAAGUUGAAAAGAAGUCCAACUGAAAGGGGAUUGACACAAAAAAAACUUUCCCAAAGUAGUUAGACAUUCCACGAAACUAUCUAUUAUUUGGUGUUGUCAAAAUUGUAUUAUCUUUUCUUUUCUUGAAUCAGGGAAAUAAUAUCAAAAGGAAAAUUUUUUUAUUUAAAUAAAGGCAACCUUUAAGCAUGAAAGCAAACUUAUGCGUAUUAGUUUCCAAUAUUUCCUCCUGCCUAGACAACCGAGGGUCGAGUUAUGUAUUAAAAUGGUCUUGUAGGAGAUGUUAGGUCAAAUUCCAUGUAAUUGAAGGGUCUCACACAUGAUGAUAUGGAAGUGCCAAGUCAUCAUAGGGUCCACUUGAGCAAAUAUGUCAUCUACCCGUUUUUAAAAGAGACAAUUAUGUAAUUGUGCAAAAAUAAAUUAUCCCUUAGACUAAUAAUUUCAGCCAAAAAAAUCUGAAAUUUUCUUUAUGUUAAAUCUUUAUACAACCUCAGAUUUGGCUUAAAAAAGAGUUCUUACUGUUGUUGGUGGUUACUAGAAUUUUUAAUCAUAGUUAGAACAAAAGAAUAGCACAUGAAAGAUUAAAUAAAUUUUAUAGUGAAAACAAAACAUAUUGUUGAUUUGGAAUAUGAUUUGACAUAGAAGCUAAUUUUGGACUCCAGUCAUGCCAUAGUAGCAAUGGUGUUAAAGGUGACAGGACAGAUAGUGGUGGGGAUAGUGUUGGUAGUAAUACACUGAAUUUGAAUGCUUCAAGCAAAACUAAUGGUUUAUAGACCUAAAAAUAAGAUCAAACUAUGGUGGGGAAAUGAACUAGGUCUUAUGUGGGGAGGAAAAAAUUCUUAAGCGACACAUGGCAACACUGAAAUCAAUAUUGUCAGUGGAGUAAAAGUGAGGGAUCGGGAUAGAAAACUAGAAACAACCAUGACGGGAGAUAAAAGGAUUUGCGCAGUAGCUUAUGUCAUAGAAGAUGUCAGGAAAAGGGUUGGCUUAGAUCCUAUAACUUUAUGAUGGAUAUUUAUUCUUAGUUUCAUGACUAAGGGGGUGUAUUUGAAGCAAUAUUUGUGGGCAAAACAUAAUGGUCCAACAUACUCUAGUAAUUGUGGCCCAAUUGUCAGAUCUAGCGAAAAUUGACUCCACAACAAGGCAAGUUAUUGGACUUUUUGUAUAUAAUUUCAUGGACAGACAAGAACUAGAUAUCAUGGCCAUAUGUUAUGGAUAAGCACAAGGAACAAAUUUGGGUUUAAUAAGUUUAAAAAGUAGAUAGGAACCGAAAGGCAAACAAUGAUACUUUAGACUAUUAGUGAACUGACAGGAAAAUAGAGUCAUAAGGGCAAAGUAUACUCAGAUACAAGCCUUAGUAGUGUAUGAAACAAUAAAGAGGACCUGCUUGCAAGGAGAUAAAGUAGCUGGCCUAGGGAGGUUGAAGAUAUGAGAAGAAAGGUUAAGCUUAAAGGAGUAAGCAGGAAAAAAAAUUGAUGUUAGUAGGUGCCAAUGUAUGAUAUGUCAAGAUGAGCAGGUUGGUGCAAAUGGAGUCAGAAGAUUCAUCCAUUGGUUCUGCUAUUCAUAGGACAGUGAAUAUGCAGAAAAAAGGGAAGCUUGUGGAAUGCGAAGUGUGUCUCAAGUGAGAAGAAAAGGAGCACAAAGAAAAGUUUCAUGCAGCGUAUUAGGAAGGUAAAUGUUCUAAAAUUUAGAUUUAUAAACACAUGUGAGUAUUAGCACACAUGCAUACCAAAAGUGUGUUAGGUUAGGUUAGUUUUCAUUCAUUGCAGCUAGCAUCUCCAAACGAUUAUAUCAGGAGAAAGGACGGCAAAAGCUAUGAUCCUUCCUAUGCAGAAUGUAAUAGCUAGCAUUGAGUUUAGGAGUGAUGGAAUGUAUGUAUGUUCAGUCACCUCUCCAUCUUUGUCAUCUGUCGCAUCCUACACAAAAUAUAUUAUGAUAUGGGAGCUUAAGAUGCCUGUGAGGUUCAAGUUUCAAGUUUUGAUCAAAUAAAGGUUCCCAUUGGUCCAAUCUCAAUAGCUCAAGCUAAAAAGCUUAAAGACUCAUUUCAAGCAUUCAUUCGAGUUGUUCAAUAGCAAGAAGGUGCUUAUAAGUAUAUUGAAGGGGUCGAGUUGGAGAAUCAACAUCAACGAACCAAAACUUUGAUUCACAUUGAAGCUAUUGAUGAAGGAUUUGCCACAAACCCUAGGUCGUGAAAUCAAGGAGUAGAUCGAGUUGUUUGCUAUUUUGAGUCAUUUUUCACUUAGUUUUCAUGAGAUUAGUUUGUAUGGAAAAAAUUUGGGCCAGCUUGCAUGUAAGUUAGAUCUCUUUUAGUUGCUUAGUUCUUUGAGCCAUUUGGGCCUUUUGGUUAGGAGAAUAAAAUCAGCCAGCUUUAGAUUAAGUUAAGCCUUAAUUAGUUCAUUAGUUAGUUAGUUAAGUUGUUCAGUCUAGGCCCGUUUGGUUUUGUAACUUGGCUAUAAAUAGCCGAAUCUUUGAAGCAUUAUGUAACGACAUUGAGAAUUUUCUAGUAAACUGUUUCUUGAGAGAAACAAUUCUUUUGACUUGUGAAAGUUACUUUUGAACAUCUUAGAGUGGUUCAUAAAGUACUCAUUGAUUUAUCAAUCAAGUUGUCACCUUGAUUGUGGCAUCGUUUAUCAAUAUAUAUGUUCUUGUGCGGUCCAAGUUCACUUUGAUUUCCACUACUCAAAUGUUAAUACUCCAUUCUGGAUCCUGUGGCUUGUGUGUUAUGGGUUACAUCUGAAAUAGGGAGUAGAUCGUAUCAGCUGGCAUCAGAGCUAGUUGAAGGUAUCAAAGUUAUAUCCCUUUUCGUUUCAUUGUUUGUGUCUUGUGUCAUUGCUCAACAAUUAUCAAAUUAUUCAUAAUUGAUAGCCAAACAACUAUAAAGCAUAAGUAUAAGUUUUCAAACUAACAAAUCAUAAAAAAGCACAAUCAUUCCCUGACUAUUUCAAAUGAAAAUUAUAACAAGUUCAUCUCCACUCUAGGAUAUGAAAAAGUUUAGCUAGACAUCAUAUUAAGAACAUUUAAGUAUGAAACAAACUUGUAACAAAGCGUGACAAAUAAGAACAAGAGACAAAGUUGGGAAGAAAAAUUCUUAUUCAAUGUCUUGAAACUUGAAUCCUUGAAUUCCUUCACAAGUUGAUCUCUCAAAUAACCUUGAUACAAGAGUGUUUUCACCCUUCUUUCAAAGCUCUUAAACUAAUUUUGAAACUUACAAUAUGAAAGUAAAGCUAAAAAUAUUUUUAUUUUUACUUCUACUCUACUCUACUUCACACAAUAAGGUGCUAUAUCUUGCUAACAUGAUGCUCAAAUGAAUGAGACUGAAAGGGUAUUUAUAGAUGUUUUGGAAGAGAAGAUAUUCUCAUAAUGUAGUCACAAAGUUGUUUUUCUCUUCUCCAACUCAAAUUUAGCUAGUUCCAACCAUUUUUCUUACAGAGGAAUUGGUCAAAAAGUUUAUGUGAGCAGAGUGCAAGUUACAAAACAAGUUGCAGCUUUGUUUCAGAGAUCUGUGAGGUGUAUGCCUCUUGGAUCUUCUUUGUUUUCAGUUCUGCACAUUCAGCUCAAAACUCAACUUUGCUUUGUUUUUGGUCCAAUUUCAACUAUAAUUUUCUUGAUGAUGGAGGCCGAAUUAUCUCAUGCACCAAACAUAAAAGUUAUAGCUCUUUGAGUUAACUUUGCAAUGCAUCAAGAUUCAUCUAAUUUGGAUCUCUGUAGGCUGAGUAAUGACCAAAAUACUCUUGACUGAUAAAUGCUUUAUUUCAGCUUUUGACAUAAAUUUUGUCAAUUGUAUUUUUACUUUUUGAUCAGGAAACUCAAUAGACUGGAUUUCAAUGUCUUCAUAUGAAUUGUAGAGCUAUGUAUUAGCUUUAACAUGGGUCAAGAAUCAUUUCAAUCUGAUACUUGUAACUCAAGAUAUAGCCAAAAUGCCAAAGUGUGUUAAAACUGUAAAACUCAUUUUGACUUGAAUAUUUUCCUAUGAUACCAAAACCUACAAAACAACGCAAUUUUGCAUAUUAGCCCACACUUUUGCAUGUUUUGAUGAAGAAAUACUAUUUGUAUGAAAAGUAACUUAUAAAAGAACUCAAUUCUUUCAUUUUAAUUUAAAACACACCAAAAAUUAACCUAAAACCUAACUAAGAAUGGAUAAAAUAAAGGUUAAUCAAAGAUGGAGUUUUAUGUGAUGUAGUACCAAUGCAAACUAGUCAUGUUUUCUUGGGUUGUCCAUGGCAGUUUGAUAAAUAUGAUGGACAUGCUAAGUAGUAUACUUUUAUGCAUUGUAAUAGGAAAAUCACUUUUGUACCACUUGCUCCUAGACAAGUGUAUGGGGAUCAAUUGAGACUUCAGAGGGAAAGUGAGAGAAAAAAUCGAAAGAAAAGUGAGACACAAAAGCAAGAAAGAGUGACCAAAUUAGUUGAGGGGAAAAAGGCAAUUGGAGAGUCGGCCAAGAGAGGAAAAAAGGAAAGGAAACAAAGCUUAAUUGCAAAAGCGAAAGAUAUCAAGCGAGUUUUGAUUUCUAAUCGGCCCCUAUUUGUGCUCUUUUACGAAAACGUGUUGAUUAUUUCUAAUGAACUUGAUAAUUCUUUGCCUUCUAGUGUUUCAUCUCUUUUGCAAGAAUUUCAAGAUGUAUUUCCUGAGGAGAUCCCUAAUAGACUGCCACUUAUGAGAAGCAUCAAGCAUCAAAUUGAUUUAGUUCCGGACGCACCAUUACCAAACAAAUCAGCCUAUAGCAUGGGUCUAGAGGAGAUCGAGGAGUUGCAAAGAUAAGUAGAUAAGCUGUUGAGAAAGGGAUGGGCUCGUGAGAGUUUAAGUUCAUGUGCUGUUCCAGUCAUUUUAGUGCCAAAGAAGGAUGGAGCAUAGAGAAUGUGCACCAAUUGUAGGAUUGUAAAUACGAUAACGGUAAAGUAUGUUAGAUAAAUUGCAUGAUUCAGUCAUUUUUACUAAAAUUAACCAUAAAAGUGGCAUUCACCAAAUUAGGAUGAGAGAGGGAGAUGAGAGAAAAAUAGUUUUUAAGACAAAACAUGAUUUAUAUAAAUGUUUAGUUAUGCCAUUUAGACUUACUAAUACACCUAGUACUUUCAUGAGACUAAUGAACCAUAUUUUGCAACCUUUUUUGGAAAAAUUUAUACUCGUUUAUUUUGCUGAUAUCUUGAUCCAUAGCAAGAGUUUUGCUCAAUAACUUGAAUAUUUAAGGACUAUUUUUUAGGUGCUUCAAAGGCUCUUUGUUAAUCUCAAGAAGUACAUUUUUUGCACUAACUAUCCUGUAUUUCUAGAAUAUGUUUUUAGUGAUCAAGGCAUUUAUGUAGAUGAAGAAAAGGUCAAAGGCAUACAAGAAUGACAUACUCCAAAGUCGGUUAGUGAUGUACGAAGCUUCCAUGAACCUACUAGCUUCUAUCAAUGCUUUGUCAAAGAUUUAGUGCAAUCGUUGUACAUACUCAAGUCUCGUAUUUGUAUACUGAGGAGCAAAGUGCUCGGGUCUCGGCUGGAACUUCAGCAUAUCUUCGCCCAUCAUGUGCUGGAUGCCUCAAGGGGGGUAACAAACUAAACGCUGGUGCCAUAUGCAAGCGAACACUUCGUAAAUACCAAAUCGAGAACAAUUUCAAUCUGAGACCACAUUAAAUCUAAACAAUCUGAUUGACAUCAAAGAGAUUUCAUUCUACUUGGGGGAAAUAUCCAUGUGAAAGGAUGCAUACGCUCUAUAGGAGUAUUGUGCAUCAGACUACACACGAACAGAUGCAAUGCCGAAUUCACCGUACAUCAAUUAAGUGCACAUUUACACUUGUUCAAAUGCAGAUCUUACCCAAACUGCAGCAAAGUUGACACUUAUUUAAGAACCUUAAUUGAGUACUCUAAUCAUAUUGAGUUAAAAAAUCCAAAACCUGAUAACACUACCUGUACUUGCUAAAGAAUUUUGUCUUCUGUAUUUGUUUUGGAUGGCAUAGUAGGAAAUUAUUACAAAACAAUUGCUUGUGGAUAACAACCACUGACCUCCAUUUUCAAAGAUCCCCAAACUUGCUUGC
RNAcentral lists this long non-coding RNA (70771 nucleotides) under Coffea arabica (coffee). Its description in RNAcentral is "long non-coding RNA (CARA_LNC002273)". The record is from RNAcentral. Lineage: Eukaryota; Viridiplantae; Streptophyta; Magnoliopsida; Gentianales; Rubiaceae.